RNAcentral lists this long non-coding RNA (50019 nucleotides) under Ananas comosus (pineapple). Its description in RNAcentral is "long non-coding RNA (ACOM_LNC004535)". Lineage: Eukaryota; Viridiplantae; Streptophyta; Magnoliopsida; Poales; Bromeliaceae. The record is from RNAcentral.
UACAAUUUGAUACCAUUUGGGGAAGGUCGCAGGAUCUGUCCAGGAAAGAACCUCGGGAUAAAAACGGUGGAGAUCAUGCUUGCCAACCUUCUUUACUCCUUCGACUGGGAACUUCCAACGGGUAUGACGAAGGAGGAUAUCAACAUGGAUGAGGCGCCGGGCAUUGCUGUGCACAAAAGACAUGCUCUCCACCUUCUCGCCACCAGACAUAUAUAGCGGCAUCUAUAGCUAGUUAGCUACUAUACUAUAGAUAAUAUAAAAUUAGUAUUUACAAUAAAUAUUUUAGCCCUUGGAUGUCUAGAGUUGUCUAUUUGGGAGUUCUAUUAGUAUGGAUCUAAGAGCCAAAAGAUCUGUAAGAAUAACUAUUUCUCUACUAUAUAUCUAAAAUAUAGUAGCUUAACCGAGUGUGUGUAUAUAUAUAAUGCCUCUCACUGAGAUGUACUCUUAUUUAUCUAUCAUUGUACAUCUAUCUAUCAUUUUUCUAUCUACCUAUAUCAAUUACGUAUCUUACUAGCUAUCUUAAUUGUACAAUAUGCAAAUCAUAUGUAUGUACAAGCUUGAUCUCACACCUUCUCAGGCGUACAAAAACUAAUUUAUCAAUAUUUAAAAAUAGGGUAGAAUCACAUAUUCUACGUUAUUAUGUUAAGACAAUUUGCUACAGCAGUGUUUAAGAAAAAUCGAGGAAGUAUUUGGCUGUUGAUACUUCCGAUUGAAUAUUAGUAUACUAAUUAAAUAAAGAUUCCUUCAAUUAUCAAGGGUUUAAAAUGUUUGGAGCAUUUAAACGUGAGGCCGUUGUUUUGAUGCAUUCAUCUAGGAUUUACUGGCUCAAAUAAAAAAAGACGGGCCGAGCUGGAGCACGGCCACGGACAGGCUUAGUCCGUCCAUUAUUACACUACCUAUUGUUGGGCUGCGGCCGUUGAGCCCGUCGGCCCGAGGCUCGACACGGCACGAACUCAAGGCCUUUGCCUCAGACCUUGGGGUAUUAGUUCCUCCCUAGACGCUCUCCUUCCGAAGUCUGCCAAUAAAGACCUUGGGAAGAAUGGGUUGGUCCCUAUUGGAUCAAAACCUCGCAAUUGGUCAGCUUUUUUAAAAAAAUUAAAAAUUAAAAAUAAAAAAUAUAAUUUUUUAAAAAAUAAAAUAUUCACUAUUUUAUAAAUUUUUUUCUAAAUUUCAAUUGCUUUGAUCAAAAUAUAAAUUUAAAUAGGAGUAAUUUAAUUUUUUUAAUUUUUAUUUAAAAAAAAUAAUAAUAAUAAGAGACCGGUCAGCCUGAUUUGACAUGGCCAGUGACUUUCAGACCAGAGGGCCGUGCUAGGCCAGAGGCUUGGAAGAUCGACCCUGCACGACUUGGCCAGGAUUUGAAAGUCGAACCAACUCCUAGCUAGCUUAUUUUGAUCUGAAUAAGGAGGUGUUCGGCUUAGCUUUUAAAAAGCUCUUUUGGGUUGAAAAGUGAUUUUCGGCCCAAUAGAGCGUUUGGCAAAUUUAUUUUUAAAAUCUGAUUCUGCUUCUCAGAAUCAGAAAACUGAUUUUGAAGGCCCAGAAUCAGAAGCUGAAAAAAGCUGCUUCUUGAAAACUGAUUCUAAUUUUGGACUCAAAUAUUAAAUUUUUAUUUUUAUUUUAAAUUCAAUGUUUAAAUUAAAAUUUAAUUAGUUUUUUGUGCAUAAACGUUAUAUAGUUUUUACAUUGAUUUUAAUAUCAAACUUUAGUACUAUAUUUAUAAUUCGAUAAGCGAUCAAUUUUAUAUUUAAAAAUAUUCAAAAUAUGAUGGUGGACUUUUAAUUCUAACAAAUAAGUAUUCUAGAAUUUAUUAAAUAGUUUAAUAUAUUCUUUUUUGAAAUGAAAUUAUUAAUUGAAUAAAAUCGAUGGACGCUCAAUUCUAUCUUUGUCUGGAAUAAAAUUAAAAUAUAAAAAAAAAAAUUACGCUUUUGAUCCUCAAACUAUAAGGCAAGUGGCAUUUUAGUCCUCAAAUUUUAAUGAGUUAUAUUUUCUUGCUCAAACUAUGAGGCAUAUAAAGCUUUAGUUUCUAAAUUUUAAUUAGCUGCAAUUUUAGACUCGAACUAUGAAAUAUAUAAUAUUUUAAUCUUCAAUUUUCACUGUUAUUAUAAAUAUAAUUUAUUAUUUUUAUAAUUUUUUAAUUUUUUAUCAUUCAUAUAUUUUAUUAUAAAUAUGUAGAUCGAAGGAUUUGGAGAUUUUUUUUUUUUUAUAUGAAUCCCAUCUAAUUCUUCUCGUUUAUUAUAAAAAAUUUAAAUAUAUAUUUUUUAUGAAUAAUUUUGAAAUAAUUUUAACUAUAUGUAUUAAAUAUAAAUUUUAAUUUUAUAAUAUUGAUCACUUAGAUAUAAAUCGUAUAAUAAAAAAUAAAAAAAAUUGAUAGAGUUUAAAUUAUUUAUUUAUUUUAACAAAUUUAGUUGUGAGAAUCAUAUGAAUUAUAUUAACUAAAUUUAUAAAGCUAAACGACGCAUUUAAAUUUUAAAGUCAAAGUAUUAUUGACUGGCUCAUAUUUAAUAUAUAAAAAAGUUGGAUAGUAAAAAUAAAAUUUUGAAAGCUUGAAUAGCUAAUUUAAAAUAAUUCAUAGUUCAGAAAUACUUUGUAUAUUUUAACUUUAAUUUUAAUAUCAAUCUUCGAUGCCAUAUUUAUAGUUUAAUGAGUGAUUAAUUUCACAUUUAAAAUUUUUUGAAAUAUUCAAAAUAUGAUUGGUCGACUUUUAAUUUUAACAAUUCGGCAUUCUAAAAUUUAUUCGAUAAUUUAACAUUCUUUCCUCAUAUGACUUCGUUUGGAAUAAAAAUAAAACAUAAAAAGAUAAAUUACACUUUUGGUCAUCAAACUAUAAGAUGCGUGAAACUUUAGGCCUCAAAGUUUCAUGUAUUACACAAUUUCUUGCACAAACUAUAAGGCACGUAAUGUUUUAGUCCUUAAACUUUAAUUAGUUGUAAUUCUUGGUUCUAAUUAUAAGGCAUAUAAUAUUUUAAUUCUCUACUCUUACUGCUGCUAUAAAUAUAAUUUAUUAUUCUUAUAAUUUUUUUCUUAUUUAUUUUAUACUUCUUAUAUUUUUAUUCUUAUAGUUUUACUAUAACAGCUGUUGUGUCUUCUUCAACUUCUUUUAUUUAUAUUUUAUUUUUAUUCUUUAACUCUUUUUUUAUUUCUUUCGUUGUUUCUUUUUUUUAGCUUUAUUUUUUUUUGUAAAAUUUUUUAUCUUUAUUUAUUUAUUUAUUUUUGUGGAAUCGAUUCGCUGCAACGCGCGGACACCUUCACUAGUAGUAUAAUUAAGUCUUACAAAAAAAAUGAUUGCAGCACAUCGUAUGUGAUAACUAGAGUGAGGCUGAUAUAUAUGCUUUUGGAAAUUCGGAACCCUCCGUACUUUCAAGUCGUUUUCGAUGUUGGAAUUUUCGAAUCGACGAUCGACUCCGUUAGACUUGAUUUAGAGUAUUUAAAGUAGCUAGAAAAAAAAUUUUGUGAUUUUUCGAUAUCAUUUUCCUAAUAAUCGAACGGGCUCAAAAUCAAUAAUUUUAAUGGCCGUGGUGAGUCGUUUGCAAAUUUAAUGGUGUAAAUAUUCAAAUCACGUAAAAUUUUGAUAGAAAUUUUUUUAUACUAUAUAAAACAAAAACAAUUUCUGAUCUAAAAUUUCAAAGCCAUAUCAUCACAUUUUGUAAAAUUUUUAUUUUCAGCCGUUGAUUUUGAGCCCCUUCAAUUACUAGGCAAAUGAUAUUGAAAAAUCGUAAAAUUUAUUUUCUAUAUAUUUCAAAUACUCUAAGAGCAUGUUUGGUUCACCUAUUUUAGAUUAUGGAAUCGGAAUGGAAUUCAUUGAUUCCGAUAGUUGCCGUUUGUUUUAUAGAAAUCGGAUUCCAAUUCCCAUUCCACUCCGGAAUGGAAAUGGCCAAAUCUAUUUAUAAUCCAAUUCGGUUUUAAAUUCCGGAUUGGCUCAUUCCAAAGUAAACUAUUUAAAAUUUUCUUUCAUCAACACCUACCUCCUCUCCCUUCAUCACUUUUCUCUCUCUUAAUCAAAAUCCUCUUUCAAAAAUUUUAAAUUUUCAUUUCGAUUUCCAUUCCAAUAAUGAACCAAACAUUUUUGGAUGAUUCGUCAUUUCAUUUCCUAUUCCAAAACAAUCCAAUUUUAUUUUUCAUUUCUAUUUCAAUCAUGAACAAAACAUGCCCUAAAUUCAAUCUAACGGAAUCAAUUGUAAAUUUAAAAAUCUCACCAUCAAAACGACUUAAUGGUACAUAAUAAAAACGAUUUGAUAGUACGGAGAUGUACGGGUGUGAUUUAAUUCUUUUCUGGGGCCCACUAGAUUUAACCUAGUGUGUGCCAGUUUCAACAUGCGUCCUCAUUUCUCCAUCCACUACGUAGCAAUUGCUAUCUUCUAUAUUCAGCGCGUGAGACUGUGAGAGCAACUGCAUAAAAGGAGUCAGAUACGUAUACAAGUGUCCCUGAUUUGAUAUACUGUACCAAUAUUCUAAAAAUAUAGGUAGACAAAAAAAAAAGUGUAUGUUCUGCCCAUUUAACUUCGAGUCCGAUACGAAUGAGUAUUUAAAUUAUUAAUAUAUUUAUCGGAUCUAUUUGAACAGAUUUGAAUAGUAAAUAUUUGUUUACUAUCCGCUUAAAAUUAGGUACGUAUCGGAUACGUGUUAAAUCUAGAUCAAAUAUAUGUACCCGCAUGCGUAUUUUUUUUUAUAGACUAUUAAAUAAUUUUUGAAAAAAUCAUAAACUUUUUAUUAUAGAAAACUCGCAUUCUAAUGAGUUGCACCCAGGUAGAGAGAUCGGAGAGGUAAAGAGAGCGGCUAGAGUUUGAUUUUUUUUCUUUUUUUACUUUGUUCCUUAAUUCCAGCAAUAAAUAGAGAUUUCUAUUUAGAGAGAAAGAUUCAAACAGUAAUCAAAAGUGGUUAGAACUAAAAAAAAUAAGAAGUAAAAAAAAAAAAAUUUAAAAAAGAAUAAGCAUAACGGCUAGGUUUCACUGAGAUGAAAAUGCACAAAUACCCUUUAUCUAUAAGUUCUAUAAAAAUUAAUCCCUCAACUUUAAAUUUUUUUUAUUUACUAUUGCAUAUUUCACUCCGAAUCAGAGUUCGGAUUUAAAAACUAUUCCGGACCGGUCGGAUCCAAGUCCGACCCAAAAUUUUCAUGAAUUUUUUUAUCCAUAUAUUAUUUAAAUAACAAAAACGUGAAUAAUUUAGGCCUCCUCUAAUAUCUUCUUAAUUUUUUUUAAUAUUAAUUUUAUAUAACUAAUAUAUUGAUAGAAAGAUUCUUUUUUUCCUUCGUAUUUUUAUAAUUGAUUAACUUGGAUAUAAACAAAACAUCCUAAACAUAAUAUCCGUAGGCAAGAACCACAAAAAUAUAGGAGCCUUAUCCAUAUGGAAAUGAUUUUGCAACCAACUUUUAUUAAUAGAUUCAACUAUAGUAUAUAAAUACAAGGAUAAAUCAAAACAUGUAGCCUUUAUGAGUAGGGCACAGAAUUACGACGUGUAGAGCAUGAACAAAAUUUUAUGGGCCCCAGACAAUUUUACAUUUUUAUGGGCCCCAAACAAUUUUAUUUGGGGAUUGCUCGGAUGGGCGCUGUGUGGCGGGUGGCGCUCAUCCGAGCCACCCAGCAAAAAUAGUUGAAGAGAGUCUCCACGCCAGUUGAAGGGGUCUCCAUGUCAUUUUAACACAGCAAAGGGUCGAAUGGGAGGAAUUCUACAUUGUCACACUUGCACCACGUCAUCAAUAACAAGCCAAUCACAUUCAUCCUUUUCAAACAAAAGUACAAUAAAAAUACUUUUUUACAAUCAUAAUGGGACAUAUAUUCUUAAAAGGAUUAAUUUGAUUGGUUUGUUACGCCACGUCACUAAUAUACCCGUUGCAUUCUAGAAUUUUUCGUCGAAUGGGCACCGCUCUCCGCACGGCGCCCAUCCGAGCAAUCUUCAAACCUGUUUGAGCAUUAUGUUCAUAAAAUUUUUAUGCGUACAGCACAAAUUGGGUUAUCUUGAUGCCUACCCUGCUACACAUGAGUUUUUAUGUGGGCUAGAGUAUCCGCCAUAUAACAAUCGUACUAGUGAAAUACUCACGCGAUGCUGCAGAUAUAAAAAUAUUUUUAUAAUAAAUUUUAUUUUUUUAAUAUGUUUAUAUAGUUUUAUAAGUCUAAUUAUUAAUAAAAUAAAAAUUAUAAAAAAUAAUUUAAUCGUUAAAUCUAUUUAAAUAAAAGUCGAUAAAAUCGGUAUAUGUGCAAAGUAAAUUUAUACAAUAAUUUAUUUUAUAAAUAUUUAUAUGAAAAUAAUUUGAGAUAAAUCUAUCAAAAUAAUUAAAAAAAUCAAUAAAUAGAAGAAAAAUAAAAAUGUAAAAGAAAUUGUUUAAUAACAUUAAUUAUAUAUACAUAGAAAUACAUUAUAUUUCGAAAAUUUUACUUCUAAAAUUUAAAUGCUCUAAUUUUUUUAUACAACGAUAUUUUACUUGAUUUAAAUUGUAUCUAUUUGGUUAGAUUUUAUUACGCAAUUUAUUAUGCGUAUUAUUAAUAAAAUUAAUUAACUAUAUUCAUAGAAUUUAGAGAUUUAAAAUUUAAAUUAAUUUCAUAGAGUUUAGAUAUUUAAAAUUUUAAAUUUUAAAUUUUAAAAUUUGAAAAUAAAUAUUAUAAAUGAAAUAUAAAAUAUAAAAUUUGAAAAUUUGGAAGUAUCAAAAUUUUAAAUUUUGAUGUCAAUAUAUAUAUAUAUAUAUAGAACUAGACUACUAUCCUAUUAAUAGCAUCAAGUCAUUUGUGCUACCAAGUUUUUGGUCAUUGGAUUAAGAGACGUACGAUUAGGAUGAUGUGGGCCCCAUACCCGACCCAAUUCCACCCGCUACCAGGGAUCAUAAGUGCGCUUACUGGUGGUGCGCUUGUACGGAUACACCGGGUGCACGUAUUAAUUUCCCUCUCGAGCAAGAGACCCCGUAGACGAGGGUUCUGGGGAGAGGUUUUAUCUCCUCGGCGCGAAGAAUCGCGGGGCACGACUCUGUUAUAUCCCCGGACAAUCCGCAACCACCGAUGAUGAAAUUGCUCUGAGGUCGGAUGGCGGUAAGGAUGAUGGGUGCUUCCGGCAGCGACGCCCGAGGUAAAAGAAAUGUAAGUNUAUAUAUAUAUAUAUAUAUAUAGAGAGAGAGAGAGAGAGAGAGAGAGAGAGAGAGAGAGAGAGAGAGAGAGAGAGCGUGUGUGCUAUUAGGAGCAGGAGGCCUCCGUGCUUCUAAGCCGUUUUUGAUGAUGGAGCUUUCGAAUCGACGAUCAACUUCGUUAGACUUGAUCUAGCAUAUUUGAAGUAUCUAGAAAAUAAAUUUUGUAACUUUUCGAUAUCAUUUACCUAACGAUCGAAAGCGUUGAAAAUCAACGAUUGAAAAUAAAAAUCUCACAAAAAGUUGUGAUAUAGUAUUAAAAUUUUCGAUCAAACAUAUUGAUCUUGCUGUAAAUAGUAUAAAGAAUUUUCUAUCAAGAUUUCAUCUGAUUUGAAUAUUUCUACAUCGUUAUACUUGCAAACGGUAUACAUCAACCAUUAAAAAUUGUUGAUUUUGAAUUCUUUCGAUCACUAGGAAAAUGAUACCGAAAAAUCACAAAAAUUAUUUUCUAAAUAGUUCAAAUACGCUAGAUCAAGUCUAACGGUGCCGAUCGUUGAUUCGAAUGCUCUAUCAUGGAAAACGGCUUAGGAGCACGAAGGCCUCCGUGCUCCUAAUAGCACACAAGACCUACUAUAUAUAUAUAUAUAUAUAUAUAUAUAUAUAUAUAUAUAUAUAUAGAGUCCGGCUACUAUACUCUUAUGAAUACGAUUGCCCUCAUACUCAUAAGUUGUUUUUGAUGAUAGAACUUUCGAAUCGACGAUCCAUACCGUUAAACAUUAUCUAGAGGAUUUAAAACUUCUGGAAAUCAAAUUUUAUAAUUUUUCGACAUCAUUUACCUUACGAUCAAAAUCUCACAAAAUUAAUAAUUUUUAGCAGCUGAUAUGGGAUAGUUGCUAGUUUAACGGUGUAAAAGAAUUAGAAUAUGUUGAAUUUUUUAUAGAAAAUUCUAUUCACUACCUAGAUAAAGAUUAAUAACUCCGAUCUUAAAUUAAAGAAUCCGAUCAUCCAUUUUUAGGACGUCGUUUGAUUUUGACCAUUCAUUUUAUGUCCGUUUGAUGGGCUUUAUUAUGAUUUCGAAAAAUUACGAAAUUUAUUUUUUAGAAGUUUCAAAUACUCUAGAUCAUAUUUAACGGAGUGGAUCGUCGAUUUGGAAGCCCCAUCAUCGAAAACAACUUAUGAGUACGAAGGGUCCAAUACUCAUAAGAGUAUAGUAGCCCUAAUAUAUAUAUAUAUAUAUAUAUAUAUAUAUAUAUAUAUAUUAAAGUAGAACCCUUAGUGUAAGAUUAACAUGUGUCUUUCUAUAUACUUGUCACGUGUCAAGCUCAAAUAUAGAAUAACAAUUUUAUUAGAAACACUAUUAAAUCAAAUUAUACCAAUUAAUUAUAAUUAUAUAUACAAUCAAAUCAAAUUAAAUCAAAUAAAGGUUUAUCAUGCAUCUUUCUAUAUGGUUGCCGCUUGUCAAACUCAAAUAUAGCAAUUAGAUGGUUAAAAAUAAAAUUUUAUUAGAAAACAAUAUUAAAUCAAAUUAAAUAUAAUUAUAUAUACAAUUAACAAAAAAUUUAUUAGGAAACACUAUUAAACACUAUUAUUAUAAUUAUACUCAAAUAUAUAUAGAAUAAAAAUUUUAUUAGAAAACACUAUUAAAUCAGAUUAAAUCAAAUUAUACCAAUUAAAUAUAAUCUAUUCUAUUUACUACAUACUAAAGUAGAACCCUUGGUAUAAAAUUGACAUGUGUCUUUCUAUAUGUUUGCCACGUGUCAAACUUAAAUAUAGAAUAAUAAUUUUAUUAGAAAAUACUAUUAAAUCAAAUUAACAAAUUACACCAAUNCUAAAAUUUUAUUACAAAACAAUAUUAAAUUAAAUCAAAUCAAAUUAUACCAAUUAAAUAUAAUUAUAUAUACAAUUAAAGAGAAUUUUAUUAGGAAACACUAUUAAACACUAUUAAAUUAAAUUAUAAUUAUAUAUACAAUUAACUAGAAUUUUAUUAGGAAACACUAUUAAACACUAUUAAGGCUUAGUUUGGCAUUGAGACCUAUCUAACGGUAUUAGAUAGAAUAGAGUUGAGGAAAAAGCAUAUAGGGAUAUGCUUCUGCGUUCUCCAGUGGGACCGCAGAAAAUAUGUUGUAACCGACUCAUCGCGAUAUGCGGAACGCAAUAUUAGUUACGGAAACAAAUAGGGUAUUUUUCCAACGUAUUUUCUCACCGCACGUAACGCAAUUUCCUCAAAAUCCCAAACGAAGCCUAAAUCAAAUUAUAAUUAUAUAUACAAUUAAAUUAAAUUAAAUCAAAUUAAAUAUUUAUCAUGCAUCUUUCUAUAUAUUUGCCAUAUGUCAAACUCAAAUAUAGCAAUUAGAUGGUUAAAAAUAAAAUUAUAUUAAACACUAUUAAAUCAAAUUAAAACAAAUUAUACUAAUUAAAUAUAAUUAUAUAUACAAUUAACUAGAAUUUUAUUAGGAAAUACUAUUAAACACUAUUAAAUCAAAUUAUAAUUAUAUAUACAAUUAAAUCAAAUUAAAUGUUUAUUUCAAAAAUUAUAAUUUUUCAAUAAUUCAACUCUAUCAUUUUAUUUUUUAAAUAAAUUUAGAUUUUUUUCUAAAAAAUUUUACUAAUAUUAUGAUAUUUAUUAUUUUACUUAUUUAACAAAUUAUCUAUAUUGCUAUUGGAGCAGAUACUUUUCAUCUUCAUGCAACAAAAUUUUUUUUUUCCUUCAUAUUUUCUUGAAGAUCAACAUCUAUAUUUAUUUGAAUCUUGAAAGUUGGUAUAUUUCUUAUAUAUAUACGUGUGCUUACUUUAAUUUGUGUUAAACAUGAAAGUUUAGUUGAUCUCAUUAUAUGCUUAAAUAUUAAUGUCGUUUGUAAUUUUUCAUAUCAAUUUGAGUUUUCAUUUUGUUUUGCACAUCAAUAUGUAAAUAUAAAUUAUUUCGCAGACUAAUUCAUAGAUAAUAGAGUAUGGUUGAAUUUUGUUCUUUACUUUGGUCCAUAAUGUAGAUAAAUAGAUUUUCAUUUUCCGCCAAAAUAUCUUGUCCUAGUAAUAUACCUCUUAUUGUUUUAGUCAAAAUUAUUGAGGUGUGCCCCACCCAUGUGGCUUGUUAAAGCCAACUCUUCGGGUCUAUGUAAAGUGUGGUGUUGUUUAAUAAUUAGGGUUGAAAGGCAGAGCAGUAUUACGUCAAAGUCUUUUUUUGUUGGAAAAUUAAAAAUUAAAAAUUAAAGAUUUUAUUUUGGGAGACAAAAAUAUAUUUUAACUGUACUGCUGCAGUAUCUAGUUAAGUUUUUGCGGCUAAUUAAAGUCCUCUAUGAUUUAUGUGGCUGAAGUUGAAAAUAGAAGUCAAACAUGGGGGGCGCAGAUACUGUAAAUACAUAGCAUACGCAUGAACUCUUUACUUCACACCUGAAGCACCUCCAAAUUAAGUUUCUAAUGGCUCUUCCUGACAUGAUUGCCUCCCUGCAGCCUUUCCUUCUUGUUCUCCUACUGCUCCUUCUUCUACUCAUCGCAAGAAGAAACAAGAUCAGUCCAUCACUAAAACUUCCCCCAGGCCCUCCUAAGCUCCCAUUGAUCGGCAACCUCCACCAGUUAGGGAGUCUCCCCUGGCGCUCCCUCUCUCGGCUCUCGCAACAAUACGGGCCUCUCAUGUAUCUAAAACUCGGCAGUAGGCCGACCAUCGUGGUCUCCUCUGCCAACAUAGCCCGGGAGAUCCUAAAGACGCACGAUCUGGAGUCCUGCAGCCGACCGUCCCUCACCUCGUAUGCAAAGCUCUCCUACGGAUCCUCGGACAUCGCCCUUUCAGCGUAUAGUGAGAAGUGGAGAGAGCUCCGAAGAGUUUUCAUCAUCGAACUUCUCAGCAGUAAGAAGGUCGCCUCGUUUCGAUCCAUUCGAGAAGAAGAGGUGGAAAGAACUAUGAGCUUCAUAUCUGACUGCUCAAACAGUUCUCUCCCAGUCGACUUGAGCAAAGAACUGAUAGCGCUUACGAGCACUAUCACCUGUAGAAUGGCUUUUGGAAGGACCUACCAAGAUGUUAGCAGCAGGUUGCAGACGAUUCUAAAAGAAACGGUUGUCUUGCUCGCGGGCUUUUUCAUCGCAGACUACUUGCCUAUCAUCGGAUGGGCCGAUUGGCUCACAGGGAUGAGAGCGAGGCUCGAGAAGAACUUUACCGAUCUUGAUCGGCUCUACCAACAAGUCAUCGACGAGCAUCUCAAUACACUGCAGCAGCAUGACUCGGGUGAAGACUUUGUGCAUAUAUUACUGCGAAUGCAAAAGGAUGAGAAAAGUCUAACCACAGACCAGAUCAAAGCAGCCAUUUUGGUAAGAAAAAUUUUCCAUACCGAAUCACAUAAAACAUUUUUCUUUCGAAAGAAAUCAUUUAUAAAGAACAAUAAAUGUAGCAAUAAGUAUGUAGGCCUAACAAUCUCUAUUCAUACUCUAGGGUACUCAGGAAUUAUCAGUAGAUUUGCGGGUAUUGGGCAUUAAUUAUUUGUGUCCAAAAAAUUAGUGGCAAAAUAAGUAGGUUCAAAUAUUUGGAGGAUCACGCAUACCAGCAUAUACAUAUAUUUUUUUUAUGAAAUAAGUGAAUAUUUAUUUUAUUUUAUCUUAUCUCUAGGAUUGUAAUUUUAAUUUUUCUUAGUGUUAUUUUAAAACUCUAUAUUAUCUUCUAUAUAUUGUGAUAAUUUAAAGGCCUAUUUGUAUAAAAAAAUCCAUAAAUUUUGAGAUUUUGCCAAACUGGGCCGCCUUUUUUCAUUUUGCAGAUUGGGUACGAAUUUUCAGCAAACUGACCAAAAUACUCUUAUUACUUUUUCUCUCCCCUUUUUCUCUCUACUAUUCUUUUCUCUUGUUUAUUUUUUUUUUCUCUUGCCAAAAAAAGUAGAGGAGGCAGAGGCGAAUGCAGAAACGGUCCGCCUCGUCUCUCACCCUCAUGCUCUCGUCCUUGCCCUUCCCCUCGCCCGCGCAACCCCCACCUUCCUCGCCUUCGACCCCACCGAGGCUGCACCGCGACUCUUUUUUUUUUUUUUUCCUCUUCGACCCUCAUCCACCGUCUCCGAUAACGACGCCUCUCUUGCCCUUUCCCGCCCUUCUUGUCUUCUCCCUCCUCCUCUGUCGCAUCCGACGACGACACAUCUUUGCCGACACCGACACUGUGGAGGUCGCUGCGGCGCUGCAGCCUCGGAGUGGGUGUUCCUUAGCGGCGUCGUCGCCGGCGCCGUGACUGUUGGCAGAGAGGAGUGACUAAAAAAAAUUAUAGAAGAAAUAAGAAAAAAAAUAAUGAUAAAAAAUUAUACAAAAAAAAAGAUGAAGAUGAAAUUGCAAUGUUAAAAUAAAAGUAUACUGUUUUAAAAAAACGUUGCACUAUUAUGGACAUAAGUUAUACUACUUAAUAUAUAAACUGCAGCUUUAAGAUGAUAAUUACACUCUUUAAAUAAAAAUUGUACUUUUUGAGAGAUAUUUACACUAUUUCUUCUCGUAUUGCAUUUUUUCAGAUGUAAAUUGCAUCCAUUAAGAUAAAAAUUAUACUCUUUAAACGAAAGUUGCACUCUUUGAGAGAUAUUUAUUUUGUUUCUCCUUUUGUUGCAGUACUCUUUGAGAUAUAAACUGCAUCCCUUUAAGAAAUAUUUAUACUGUUUUUCCUCUUGUUGUACCGUUUCUUCUCUUGUUGCACUAUUUCUUUUCUUGUUACACUAUUUUUUUUCUUAAAGGGUGCAGUUUAAGAGAAAAAAUAGUGUAACAAGAGAAAAAUAGUGCAAUAAAAAAAAAUAAUGCAACAAGAGGAGAAACAAUAUAAAUAUCUCUUAAAGGGGUGCAGUUUACAUCUCAAAAAGUGCAAUAAGAGAAAAACAGUGUAAAUAUCUCUAAAAGAGUGUAAUUUUCAUUUAAAGAGUGUAACUUUAAUCUUAAUGGAUGCAGUUUACAUCUGAAAGAGUGCAAUAAGAGGAGAAAUAGUGUAAAUAUCUCUUAAAGAGUAUAAUUUUCGUUUAAAAAGUGUAAUUUUUAUUUUAAAACUGCAGUUUAUAUCUUAAGUAGUGCAACUUAUAUCCAUAAUAGUGCAAUAUUUUUUUAAAACCGUGUCAUUUUAUUUUAACUGUGCAAUUUUAUUUUUAUCUUUCUUUUUCUAUAAUUUUUUAUCUUUAUUUAUUUUUCUUGCUUCUUCUCUAAUUUUUUUUUAUCACACCUCUCUGCCAGCGCCAGCGACGACGCAGCGAAGGACCCCCCGCUCCAAGUUGGCAGCACCGCAGCGACCUCCACGGUAUUGGCGUCGUCGUUGUCGUCGGACGGUGGAGGAGAGUCAAAGAGGAAAAAAAAGAAGAGUUGCGGUGCGGUCUCGGCAAGGUUGGAGGCGAGGAAGGUGGGGGGGUGCGCAGGUGCCGGCGAGGGCGAAAGCAUGAGGAUGAGAAGCAAGGAGGACCGUUUCCGCUUUCGCCUCUGCCUCCGCUGUCUCUUCGGCAAGAGAAAAAAAAAUGAACAAAAGAAAAAAAAGAGGGGAGAGAAAAAAUAAUAAAGGUAUUUUGGUCAGUUUGCUGAAAAUUCAGUCCGAAUCUGCAAAAUAAAAAAAAUUACCCACUUUUGUAAAAGCACAAAACUAAUGAAUUUUUUAUACAAAUUAGCCUAAUUUAAAUAAUAAUUAUGUUAUUUUUUAAAAAAUAAAUAAACAAUAUAUAUAUUUACGUGUGUGUAUUUGAAAAGUUUAAAGAAUAAAAAAAAACACUUCGUGGGUAAUUCGUAUACCUAUCCGCUUAAAUGUAAUUUUGUGGGUAAUUCGCAUACCUAUCCGCUUACAUGUAUGGAUAAGAAUGCUGACUAUUUAAAAAUUUUUGAAUAAAUUUUAUUCAUACCUAAAUAAAUCUGCGGAUAUAAAAAUCAGUCCAGCGCAUGAAUCAUUCAACACUAAAGUCAUCUUUUUAUACACGAGAUUUCUUUUUUUUGCAGGAUGUUUUCGUUGGUGGGAGCAAUACGUCCUCAGCCACUGUGGUAUGGUCGAUGACAGAGCUAAUGAGGCACCCGCAAGUGAUGAAAAAAGCUCAAGAAGAAGUGAGAAGCCUCGUCGGGGGGAAAGGAAAGGUAGAGGAGAGCGACAUCGACCCACUGCGCUACCUCAAGUGCGUUGUGAAGGAGACCAUGCGGUUGCACCCGGUGGCUCCCAUGCUGCUCCCAAGAACAACGUUGCGGCAUUUCAAAAUCGACAGCUAUGAUGUCCCGCUCGAUUCAAUGAUAUACAUCAAUGCUUGGGCAAUCGGAAGGGACGGGAGUUACUGGGAAUCGCCGGAGGCGUUCAAGCCGGAGAGGUUCAUGAAUAGCUCGGAUCUCGAGUUCGCCGGAAAGGACUUCAAUUUGAUACCAUUUGGGGAAGGUCGCAGGAUCUGCCCAGGGAAGAACCUCGGGCUCAAAACAGUCGAGAUCAUGCUCGCCAACCUUCUUUACUCCUUCGACUGGGAACUUCCAACGGGUAUGACGAAGGAGGACAUCAACAUGGAUGAGGCGCUGGGCAUUGCUGUGCACAAAAGACAUGCUCUCCGCCUUCUCGCCACCAGACAUAUAUAGCGGCAUCAAUAGCUACUAUACUAUAGAUAAUAUAAAAUUAGUAUUUACAAUAAAUAUUUUAGCCCUUGGAUGUCUAGAGUUGUCUAUUUGGGAGUUCUAUUAAUUAGUAUGGAUCUAAGAGCCAAAAGAUCUGUAAUAAUUACUUUUCAUCUACUAUUUAUAAUAUAGUAGCUUAAUCGAGUGUGUGUAUAUAUAUAAUGCGUCUCACUGAAAUGCACUCUUAUUUAUCUACUACUUCUAUCUACCUAUAUCAAUUACGUAUUUUACUAGCUAUCUUAUGCGAACAAUAUGCAAAUCAUAUGUAUAUACAAGCUUGAUCUCACAACUUCUCAGGCACACAAAAAUUAAUUUCUCAAUAUUUAAGAAUAGGGUAGAAUCACAUAUUUUACGUUAUAUGUUAACACAAGUUGCUACAGCAAAGUUUAAGAAAAAUCUGAUAGCCGACCUGGUAUGACCUACGUACCCUUUUCAUUGAGGAAAUAUAUUUGGCUGUUGAUAAUUCCGACUUAGUAUUACUAUACUAAUUUAAUGAAAGAUUCAUUCAAUUAUAUAGGAUUUAAACUGUUUGGAGCAUUUGAACGCGAGACCGUUGAUUAAUUGCAUCCAUCUAGGAUUUACUGGCUAAAAUAAAAAAAGACGGCCGAGCUGGGGGCACACCGGUUGGGCCCAUCACACUGGGCAGUGUUGGGCAGCUGCCGUUGAGCUCGUCGACCCAAGGCUCGGCACGGCGCGGCACAAACUGGCACAGCCUGGGCCCCAAGGCCUUUGCCUUGGACCUUGGGGCACGAGUUCCUCCCUUGGGAAGAAUGGGUUGGUCCAUAUUGGAUCAAAACCUUGCAAUUAAUCACUUUUUUUAAAAAAAAAAAAGUAAAAAAUAGAUUUUUUUUAAAAAAAAUAAAAUAUUUAUUAUUUUAUAAUUCUUUUUAUAAAUUUCAAUUGCUUUGAUCAAAAUAUAAAUUUAAACAGGAGUAAUUUAAUUUUUAAAUUUAUAUUUUUUAAAAAAAUUUAAAAAAAAUAGAGAGAUUGGUCCGCCCGGUUCGAUAAGGCCAGUGCCUUCCAUGCCAGAGGGCCCGUGCAGGGGAGGAGGCAUGAAAGAUCCAACCCUGCACCGCUCGGCUAGAAUUUGAAAGUCAGACCGACGCCUAGCUCGUUUUAGUCUAGAUAAUAUAGGUCAUGCGGUUUGAACAGGACUCACAUUACACCCCUACAUCUAUAUCACAUAUUUGUUCCUCUCUCUCUCUUAUCUAUUCUUUUUCAUCAUUACAGUUGACAUAUUCUACUUCUCUCAUUCUGCUUCUCACAAUGAAUAAAAUAAUUAAAUUAAGGUAAAAACAUUAGUUACUAUCUGAAAUUAUUGUAACCAUGUUUUACAUGAAUUUGUUUUUUUUUUUUUUUUAGAGAUAGGUAGCAUGCUACCCGCUUCGUUUAUUUCAUUUAGAAAUAAACUUAGCUAGAAAUGUGAAUCAACUAGGAUUCGAACUUGAGACCUCAGGUACCAACCAUCAAGCCUUUUGCCACUUGCGCUAGGGACAGCCGGUUUUACAUGAAUUUGUUGAAAAUCAUAAAUUGGAGUCAUAGAUAAAUCUAUAGGAAGGAGGUAUUUUGGGGUGGAGAGUGAUGUGAGAGUAAGGUUAAUGUAGAAGAAAAGAUGUAAUCUAUUUAGCUAAGGUGAAAUAGGUAAUUCAUUUCGAUUUGAAUUUGGAACCAAUAAUAUGAAAUAGGAAGAAAUCAUAAAGAAAUAUAAUAGAUACUACGUACAAAAGGGGUGGAUAGUAGGCGGACUUUUUUGAUUAGUUCAAUUUACAAUUUUUUAUUAAAUUUAAAAUUUAAAAAUUUUAAAAAAUAAAUAGUCAAAUUUGAAUAUGUGACGGUUGCUAUACUAUAAAAAUAUGAACUACAGACAUAAAUGACAUUUUUUUUCUUGUUCGCAGGGUAAACCUACAUCAAAAUAAAAACAGAUUAUCAAAAUAAAAGCAAAUUAUCGGUCUCUACGCAGGGGUGUAAACGAGCCGAACACGAGCGAGCUAGGGUCAGCUCAUAUUCGGGCUCAUUUAUUAAACGAGGCCGAACACGAGCUCGCUCGUUAAAUAUCGGAGCCGAAAAUUCAGCUCGUGUUCGGCUCGUUUUAUUAACGAGCCGAACACGGCUGACUCACGAGCUGGUUAACAACAAUAAAUUAAAAAGAAUUAGAUUAAUAUAUAUAAAAAUAAUUUAUAAAAUCUUAUCCAUUAAAUUUUGAUUUAAUAGUUGAAACUUUACAUAUAAAUGAGUCUUUUAUAAUUAAAUUUGCAUUUAUAUUUUUAUUUUGCUAAAAAUUAAUAAUAAAAAUAUGUAUUAUAUAUAAUAUUUAUUUAUAUAUAAAAUAUAAAUUAAAUAAAUUAUAUAAAUGUAAAUAUAUGUAUUCGAGCUGUUAUCGAGUCGAACAUGAGCGAGCUGACCCCAGCUCGUGUUCGGCUCGUUUAUUAAACGAGCUGAAAAUUGAGGCUCGUGUUCGGCUCGUUUACUAACGAGCGAGCCGAUAUCGAGACUCAUUUCGAGCCGAACACGAGCUGACUCACGAACAGCGAGCUGAAUUGCCACCCCUAUCUCUACGGAGCAUUAAUUACGUAUAUAUCUAGCUAAUUAGAGUCGUUGAAACUAAAAGCAAAAUAUUUCGUCCCUUAAUAGACCUCCUGGGUAUAACACGGUAGCCGUGGGUCGUAAUAGUGAAAAGUUUUAAUUAUAUUUUACUAUACUUUAUUUUAUUAUUAUUUUUACUUACUUUAUUAUAUUAUUGUUUGAAGGUUUUAUUAUAUUUUUCAAAUUCUACAUUAAAAUUUAGAUUUAUUUUUAUUUUUUUAUCUUUUUCUUUUUCUUACAUAUAUUACGUACCAAAUUAUUUUUUUCUCGCCAGCUUUAAUUAUUUUUAAUUAUUAUUUUAUUAUUUUUAAUAUUAUUAAAAUAAGUUGAAUAUAUUUCUGUUAUUUUUAAUUAGUAUUUUAUAGUGUAGGGAUAAAAAAAAAAGCGGUGCUUUAAAAAAAUUAGUAUAAUAUAAAAAGUGAAAAAAAAUCUCUAUAUUGUAAUAUAGUAUAAGUGUAAUUAAAUCUUAAAAAAAUAAUUACGGCACAUCGUAUGUGAUAAUUAGGCAAAAAAGAGAAUCCUGGCCUGCGCACAGUUCAUGCACGGCACUAGUAGGAAAGUCCAAUUUUGAGUCUCAAUGUAUGCGUGUGAUUUAGGAGGCCAAUAGGUCGGAUUCCGGCAGAUUUUUAGAAGUUUGAAUCCGAAUCCAACUCCAAAUCUGAAAUCUCAAUCCGAAAAAGACAUAUCCAAAUCCGAAAUCGACUAAAAAUUCGAAACCCGAAAUAAUUAUUUUUCUUUUCAAUAUUCCAAAAUAUAUUACAUUAAAUCUAAUUUUUUAAAAUACAAAUUGAAAUAUAAUAUUAAAUUUUAAUACACAUGUUAUAUAUAUUAUAAAAUAAAUUUGGGUUCUAGUCUGGUUCAAAUUCGGAUCAAAUACAGUCAAAAUUCAUUUCCGAAUUUAUACCCGUCGGGUCUUUGUUUCUGAUAUUCAUAUUCAAAACCAUAUUCGUUUAUCAUCAGGUAAAUUCGCUCCGUUCUAUUUCAAAUUCGGAUAAAAUUUUGAGUAUCUACACGCAUUAACAUCCCUAGUAUGGUGUUCUUUUUCUGGGGCCCACUAGAUUUUACCCAGUGUGUGCCAGUUUCAACUCAUUUUUCCAUCCACAUAGCAAUUACUGUCUCCUAUAUUUAGCGAGUGAGAGCAACUGCAUAAAAAUGUCCCUGUUUUGAUAUACUGUACCAAUAUUUUAAAAUAUUGGAAGAGAAAAAUAUAUGUUUUACUCGUUUAUAUCAGAUUCUAUACGGAUUUGAGUAUUUAAAUUAUUAAUAUAUCCAUCGAGUCUACUUGAGCAGAUUUAGAUAGUAACUAUCCGUAUACAGCCACUUUAAAAUUGGGUACAGAUCGAAUACGGGUCGGGUACUUUAAAAUUGGGUACAGAUCGAAUACGGGUCGGGUUUAGAUCAAAUAUGUGUAUCGGCAUGCAAAUUUUUUAUAGACUAUUAAAUAGUUUAUGGACAAAUUAUAAAUUUUUUACUAUAGAAAACUCACGUUCUAAUAAAUUGCACCAAGUUAAAGAGAUCAAAGAGGCAAAGAGAGUGGUUAGGGUUUGAUUUUUUUUUUUUUUUAACUCCUUUUCUUAAUUCCAAAAAUAAACAUGGAUCCCUAUUUAGAGAGAAAGAUUCCAACAGUAAACAACGGUUAGAAUUUUAAAAAUAAGGAGAAAAAAACAAAAAAAUAGUAAAUAUAGUGGCUAGGUUUCACUAAGACGAAAAUAUACAGAAAUUCCUCAUCUAUAAAUUCUAUAUAUUGUGAUAAUUUAAAUAAUAAUUAUCUUAUGCUUUUUUAAAUAAAUAAACAAAUAUAUAUUUUUACGUGUGUGUAUUUGAAAAGUAUAAGAAUUAAAAAAAAAAACAACUCGUGGGUAAUUCGCAUACCCAUCUGCUCACAUGUAUGGAUAUAUAAGAAUGCUGGCUAUCUUAAAAAUUUUUGAAUAAAUUUUAUUCGUACCUAAAUAAAUCUGCGGAUAUAAAAAUCAGCCCAGCACAUGAAUCAUUCAACACUAAAGUCAUGUUUUCAUACACGAGAUUUCUUUUUUUGCAGAAUGUUUUCGUUGGUGGGAGCGAUACAUCCUCAGCCACUGUGGUAUGGGCGAUGUCGACGGAACUAAUGAGGCACCCGCAAGCGAUGAAAAAAGCUCAAGAAGAAGUAAGAAGCCUCAUCGGGAGGAAAGGAAAGGUAGAGGAGCCCGACAUCGACCAACUACGCUACCUCAAGUGCGUUGUGAAGGAGACCUUGCGGUUGCACCCAUGCUGCUCCCAAGAACAACGUUGCGGCAUUUUAAAAUCGACGACAAUGAUGUCCCGCCCGAUACAAUGAUAUUCAUCAAUGCUUGGGCGAUCGGAAGGGACGGGAGUUACUGGGAAUCGCCGGAGGCAUUCAAGCCAGAGAGGUUCACGCAUAGUUCGGUUCUCGAGUUCGCGGGAAAGGACUUCAAUUUGAUACCAUUUGGGGAAGGUCGCAGGAUCUGCAUGCCCCAGGAAGAACCUCGGGAUAAAAACGGUCGAGAUCAUGCUCGCCAACCUUCUUUACUCCUUCGACUGGGAACUUCCAACUGGUAUGACGAAGGAGGACAUCAACAUGGAUGAGGCGCCGGGUGUUGCUGUGCACAAAAGACAUGCUCUCCGCCUUCCCGCCACUAGAUAUAGCAGCAUCAAUAGCUAAAAUAUAUACAUAAAUACACCACUGUGCAUCUACGUACGUAUCAUCUCUCGCGCAACAAUCUACCUAGCUAUAUCUAUUAUGUGUCUUACUAGCUAUAUAUCUUAGUUAUGUGUAUAAUAUGCAAAUCAUAUGCUUAUACCUCACAACUUCUCAGACGUACAAAAAUUAAUUUAUCAAUAUUUAAGUAUAGGGUAGAAUCACAUAUAUAUUCUACCUUAUUAAGACAGCAGUGUUUAAGAAGACUCUGCAGACCGAGACCUGACCUGACGUGCGUACCCCUUUCAUCCAAGAAGUAUUCGGCUGUUGAUUCUGAAUAUUACUGUACUAAUUUAAUAAAAGAUGCAUUCAAUUAUAUAUGAUUUAAACUGUUUGGGGCAUUUAAACGUGAGGCCGUUGUUUUAAUGCAUUCAUCUAGGAUUUACUAGCUCGAAUGAAAAAGACCAGUUCAAUGGUUUCUCUGAGUGCCGCUGAACAGAAAGCCACAGGCCAAGCUGGGGCACGCCACGGACCGGCUCGGCCCAUUACACUGGGCUGUACUGGGCCGAAGCUAGGCACGGCACGGCCUAGGGCCUAAGGCCUUCGGCCUUCGACCUUGGGGUCUGAGUUCCUCCCUAGAAGCUCUCCUUCCAAAGUCUGCCAAUGAAGGCCUUGGGAAGAAGGGGUUGGUCCAUUGGAUCAAAACCUCGCAAUGUAUCACUUUUUUUUAAAAAAAUAAAGAUUAUAAUUUUUUAAAAAAUCAAAAUAUUUAUUAUUUUAUAAUUAUUUUUAUAAAUAUUAAUUGUUUUGAUCAAAUAUAAACUUAAAUGGGUGUAAUUUUAUUUUUUUAUAUUUUUAAUUUUAUAUUUUUAAAAGUUUAAAAAUAAAUAAUUAAGAGAUUGGUCCGAAGCACGGUACAGUUCGGCAUGGCCAGUGCCUUUCAACCUAAAGGACCGUGCCGGGCCAAAGGCUUGAAACAUGCAACUCUUCCGGCACGGUCGGCUCCUAGUCUAUUUUGGUCAGGAUAAUAUAUAUGACCUUGUUGUCUAACACAGCCUACAUUAGACUUUUAUAUUUAUAUAAUAUCACAUUUCUUUUUUCCUCUUUCUUCUUAUCUAUUUUUUUCAUCAUUACAGUUGACAUAGUCUACCUUGCUCAUUCUACUUCUCACACGGAAUAAAAGAAUAAAAUUAAGGUAAAAACAUUUGUUACUAUUAGAAUUUUUUUUUGAAAAAAAAAAAGUUUGCUAUCCGCUUCAUUCAUUAAAAAUAAGAAUUAGGCUACAUGUGUGAGGUAAUAAACCUCGGUACUCUUAGAAAUUACUGUAACCAUGUUUUACAUGUAAUCAAGGGUGAAUUUAUUGAAAAUCAUAUAUUGGAACCGUCAUAGAUAAAACGGUGGGAAGGAGGUAUUUUGGGGUGGGAAGUGACGUGAGAGUACGGUUAAUGUAGAAGAAAAGAUGUAAUUUAUUUCGGUUAGAGCUGAUAAUGUGAAAUGGGUAAUUUAUUUGGAUUGGAAUCGAUAAGAUGAAAUAGAAAGAAAUCGUAAAGAAAAUACGACUGAUGCUACGUACGAAGGGGUGGAUAGUAAGUGGACUUUUUUGAUUAGUUAAUUUUACAAUUUUUUAUUAAUAAAAUUUAAAUUUAAAAUUUUAAAAAAAUUAAAUAGUUAAAUUUAAAUAUGUGGUGGUUGCCAUACUAUAAAAAUAUGAUCAACAGACAUAAAACUUUUAGCGACAACUUGGUGGGUAGUUUAGACGGAAAGAAAUAAUAUCAUUUUCCAUACGAAGUUUCUCGACGCUACCUAGGUUCUUGAACGCAUCAAACUUCUGGCGAAAUCGUGGAAUCAGCUCCUUUGACUGCAUCGGCUUACGAAGCUUCUCAACGCUCCCUUUUUUUUUUUUUCCCACCCUUCCCUCACCCUUUCCCCUUUCCCCUUUUCCCUUUUCGCCAACCUCUUUUCUGUUUUUUCUUGUUCUGUUUUGGCACUAUUUCGGAGGCCCUAGCUACUUUCAUUCUGUACGCUCGGUUAAUUUUACUUAAUGAAUUAACCAAAUAACUUGCUACCUCUUGCUCAAAAAUAAAAGACAUAAAAGACAUUUUUUUUCUUGUGCACUAACGUAUAUAUCAAAAUGAAUGCGGAUUAUCGGUCUCUACUGAGCAUUAACGUAUCCAGCUAAUUAGAGCAUAGUUAGUUAAUUCGGAUUCAGCAAAAAUUCGGUCCGGGUAUAAUAUGCAUAAAAUUCGUUUUCUAAUUUUUAAAUUUAUUGAAAAAUUCGGCUUAAAAAAUAGAUUCAGUAUAAAAUAUAAAUAAAAUAUAAGAUAAUCUAUUUUUUAAAAAAAAUAAUAAAUUUUUUAUUCAUAUUUUCACUAAUUCGGAAAUAAUUCGCGAAUUACUCGGCUGGCCAAAAAAUUCACGAAUAAUUCUCUUUUUUUGAAAAAAAAUUCAUAAACGAGACGUUUAAUUUGAAUUUUCAAUAAUUCACGAAUUAACUAACAAAGAAUUAGAGUCCGUUGAAACUAAAAGCAAAAUAUUAUGUCUCUUAGAUAGACCUCCUGAGUAACAUCGUACAUCAUAAUUAUAAGGAAUAAUUGCCUAUAUACUCCAAAAACUUUGAAAAUAUCUUAUUACCCUUAUUUUUUUUCCUUUUCAAUAUACACCUCAUAUGUUCUUCCGUUUUUUCAAAAUACCGAUACAGUUAUCACCUAUUAAGUCAAGUUGAGUUAAACGUGAGUUAAAUAUCUACUACAGUUAAAAAAAUUUAAAAUGACACUUUUGCCUUUAACUUAAGGGCAAAUAAGAAAUAUUAAUGAUAAUAAAAGGGUAUAUUUGAAAAGUCCAAGAAACAAAAUACUUUUUGUGCCCCUAACUUAAGAACAAAUAAGAAGGUGCGGGUAGAAAAGUAUAUUUGAAAGGACACAAUAGUAAUUUUAUAAAGAUAAUAGAGUUCGUUAACAUAAUUCAUUAACAGAGUUUAUUAACAGAUUUUAACUCUACGGGUAUAUUUGAAAUAAAUUAGAAUGUAAAAAAAUUAUUUUCAAUAUUAACCUUCCAAAAAGGUAAAUCAGAAUGUCGGGAAUUUUGGGUAUAUAAUUAAGCAAUUACCCAUAAUUAUAAAAAGGCUGAAUUAUAUUUUACAAUACUUUAUUUUAUUAUUGUUUUAUUACUGUAUUAUAUUAUUCUUUAAAAGGUUUUAUUAUAUUUUUCAAAUUCUACAUUAAAAUUUAGAUUUUUUUAUUUUUCUAUCUUAUUAUUUUCUUUUCUUACAUAUAUUACCAAACUAUUCUUUUUCUCGCCAAUUUUUAUUUUACUGCUAAUAAAUAUACUAUUUUAGACAAAAUCUGAUAAAUUUUUUAAAAGUUGUUGUUUAAAUAGUAAAACAAAUAUAAAAUAAAUGUUCACGAUAGACUCAUUGAAACUUCUAUCAAGUUAUUUUUAAUUAUUAGUUUGUUAUUUUAUGUAUUUUAUUAUUUUUAAUAUCAUAAUAAGUUGAAUAUAUCUCUAUCAUUUUUAAACAGUAUUUUUUAGCAGUUUUAUAUAAAAUUAUAUGUUUAUUAUUUGUAGUGUAGGGAUUAAUAAAAAAAAAGUUAAGCGGUGCCUUAAAAGAAAUUUGUAUAAUAUUGAAAGUGAAAAAAAAAAUCUGUAUAAUACAAUAUUAUAGUCUAGUGUACGUAAUUAAAUCUUCUUCUUUUUUUUUUAGAGAGAUAGGUAGCACGUUACCUGUUUCGUUUUUUAAAUUUAGAAAUAAAUUUAGUUGGAAAUGUGAAUCAAUUAGAAUUCGAAUUUGAAAUCUCGAAUACUAGUACCGUCAAGCCCUUUGUCACUUGUUUUAGAGACAGUCGGUUACAUAAUUAGAUCUUACAGCUAGAGGUGGCAAUCCAGCUCGUUGUUCGCGAGCCAGCUUGUGUUCGGCUCGAAAUGAGCUCGAGAUCGGCUUGAUUUUUUAGCUCGUUUAAUAAACGAGUCGAACACGAGCUGGGGUCAGCUCGCUUCUGUUCGGCUCGAUAACAGCUCGAAUACAUAUAUUUUAUAUUUAUAUAAUUUAUUUAAUUUAUAUUUUUAUAUAUAAAUAAAUAAUUAUAUAUAAUAUAUAUUUUUAUUAUUUUAUUUUUAGCAAAAUAAAAAUAUAAAUGCGAGCUUAAUUAUAAAAAGACUUAUUUAUAUGUAAAGUUUCACCUAUUAGAUUAAAGUCUAAUGGAUAAGAUUUGAUAAACUUAUUUUUUAUAUAUAUUUAAUCUAAUCAUUUUUAAUUUAUUGUUCGUUGGCCAGUUCGUGAAACAGCUCAUGUUCGGCUCGUUAAUAAACGAGCCAAACACGAGCUGAAUUUUUCCACUUGAUACUUUAACGAGCCAGCUCGUGUUUCGCUCGUUUAAUAAACGAGCCGAACACGAGCCGACCUCAGCUCGCUCGUGUUCGGGUCGUUUACACCCCUACUUACGGCACAUCGUAUGUGAUAAUUACGGAAAAAAGAAAAUCAUGGCACACAGCUCUUGCACGGCACUAGUAGGAAACUCUAAUUUUGAGUCUUAAUGCGUGGGUGUGAUUACGAGUGAGAGCAACGUCAGAUGCGUAGAUAUAUGGAAACGGGUAUGGACGUGCAUUCGUUGUACAACAAACAUGCAUAAAUUUUAAGCAUAACAAAACAUGAAUAAUGGAGGCCUCGUCUAAUAUCUUAAACAUAAAUAUAAAUUCGCACUCGGUAAACGCCUCCAAAUAUCUUUACAAUAUAGUAAAUAUUGACACUUCAAAAGGUGUCAUAAUACGAACCCUCAAUAAUAUCAAACUAAUUUAUUAAAUAAUAUUUAUUAUUAUUUUUAAUUUUUCAACGUUUUAAAGGAUUAAGAUUUAAAAAAAUUUUAAUACUUUAUAGCGUAAGAAUAUAUUUUACUAACACUUAGCAUAAAUAUCGAUAUAUCUAUGACGAUUUUUUUUUUAUAGAUAUUUUGAUUGAUACUUUCAAACAUGACGUUAAAAAAAAAAUUUAAAAUAUUAUUUUUUUUCGUAGCAAUACAAGAUUAUAUAAGGCAGCAAGAAACAAAAGUAUUGAUUGGCUUCUAAACUUUUCCGUAUGGAAAAUAAAUUUGUAACUUAUAUUGAUAGAAGCAACUAGACUACGUAAGUACAACGAUAAAUCAAAUCAUGUAGCUUUUAUGAGUGGGGCACGGAGGUAACGGCGUGCGUUAUCUUUAAUGAGUGGGUAACGGCGUCCGUUAUCUUUGGUACCUACCCGUGAGUUUUUUGUAGGUAGGAGUGUCCAACGCCAUGGCAAUCAUCUUUCCAUUUUCUGACGAAGUACUUUGUCCUAAUAAACAUAAAUAAGAGAAAUGCUGUAUGUUGGAUAUAAAAUUAUGUAAAAUAAUUAAGUAAUUAAAUCUUGCCAAGUGGUAAUUAUGUAAGGCUUAGUUUUCAAAAUAUUGGACAAUAUAAAAUUAAGGGCGCUAUUAAUUUUACAAGGCUAAUUAUAACCUAUUCACCAACACCUAUAUACACAAAUCUAAUUUAAUUAAAAACAAACAAUUAAGUAUGUAUGAAUAUAAUUAAGGAGGUCAUGAGCUCAUUUGGAUCUGCAGAAUGUGGUGUUGUCUAAUAAUUAGGUUUGAAUGGCAACGGUAAGAGCAGUACUACGUCAAAAUCGUUUUUUUUUUUUUAGAAAAAUUGAAAAUUUCAAAUUAAAGAUUUUACUUUGAGAACCAAAAUACGAUUUUAAUUGUACAGCUGCACUAUCUAGGAAACUUGUUGCGGCUGAAAAGUCGUCCAUGAUUUGUGUGGCAUGCAGAUACUAUAUAAACGCAAACAUGAGGCAUGCAGAUACUAUAUAAAUGCACAGCAUAUGCAUGAGCUCUUUUACUUCAUACCUGAAGCACCCCAAAUUAAGUUUCUAUGGCUCUUUCUGACAUGAUUGCCUCCCUGCAGCCUUUCCUUCUUGUUCUCCUACUACUACUCCCUCUUCUACUCCUCACAAGAAGAAACAAGACUUCCAGUCCAUCACUAAAACUUCCCCCGGCCCCUCCCAAGCUGCCGUUAAUCGGCAACCUCCACCAGCUUGGUAUACUCCCCCACCGCUCCCUCUCUCGGCUCUCGCAGCAAUACGGCCCCCUCAUGCACCUGAUGCUCGGCAGCAGGCCGAGCAUCGUGGUCUCCUCUGCCGACAUGGCCCGGGAGAUCCUAAAGACGCACGACCUAGAGUCCUGCAGCCGACCAUCCCUCACCUCAUUUACAAAGCUCUCCUACGGUGGCUCGGACAUCGGCCUCGCGGGGUAUGGAGAGCAGUGGAGAGAGCUCCGAAGAAUUUCCGUCAUCGAACUUUUCAGCGCGAAGAAGGUCGCCUCCUUUCGAUCCAUUAGAGAAGAAGAGGUGGAAAGAACUAUGAGCUUGAUAUCCUCAUAUUCAAGCAGUUCUCUCCCCGUCGAUUUGAGCAAAGAACUGAUAGAGCUCACAACCGCAAUCACUUGUAGAAUGGCUUUCGGAAGGAGCUACCAUGAUGUUGGAAGCAGGUUUCAGGCGAUUCUGAACGAAACACAAGCUAUGCUCGCGGGCUUUUUCAUCGCAGACUACUUGCCUAUCAUCGGAUGGGCCGAUUGGCUCACAGGGAUGAGAGCGAGGCUCCGUAAGAACUUUACCGAUCUUGAUCUGUUCUACCAACAAGUCAUCGACAAGCAUCUCGACACACUGCAGCAGCAGCAGCAGCAACGUGACUCUGGUGAAGACUUUGUGCAUUUAUUACUGCGCAUGCAAAAGGAGGAGAAAAGUCUAACCACAGACCAGAUCAAAGCAGUACUUAUGGUCGGUAAAAUACGAUAAUAUAUCACAUAAUUUUUUUUUUUUUUGAAAAAAAUUCAUUCAUUAAGAACAAUAAAUUUGGCAAUAACAAUAUGUAGAGCUAACAAUAUAUUGCUAUUCAUUCCUUAGGGUACCCGCAGAUUAUCGAUAGAUUUGCGAGUAUGAACACUGAUUUUUUAUCUAAAAGGAUGUGGGUAAAACAGAUAGAUUCAUAUAUUUUCGACAACCCACAGAAACUAGCAUGUAUAUAUAUUUUUUAAAUAAAAUAAGUGAAUAUUUAUUUUAUUUUAUUUACCUCUAGAUUUUUAAUUUUAAUUUUUCUUAUUAUUAUUUUAAAACUCUAUAUUAUCUAUUGUAUAUUAUGAUAAUNAUAUAUAUAUAUAUAUAUAUAUAUAUAUAUAUAUAUAUAUAUAUAUAUAUAUAUAUAAAGAGAGAGAGAGAGUGAGCUGGUAUGUUUCUGGAAGUACAAAACUUUCCGUGUUUCUAAGUUGUUUUCGAUAGAAUUUUCGAAUCGACGAUCGGCUCCAUUAAACUUGAUCUAGAGUAUUUAAAGUAUCUAGAAAAUAAAUUUUGUGAUUUUUCGAUAUCAUUUGCCAAUGAUUAAAGGGCUUAAAAUCAAUAACUUUAAUAACCGUGGUGAGCUGUUUACAAGUUUAACGGUGUAAAAAUAUUCAAAUCACGUGAAAUUUUGAUUGAAAAUUCUUUAUACUAUAUAAAACAAGAUCAAUAUUUUUUAUCUAAAAUUUUAAUAUCAUAUCAUCCUAUUUUGCAAUAUUUUUAUUUUCAGCCGUUGAUUUUGAACUACUUCGAUCACUAAGCAAAUGAUAUCAAAAAAUCGCAAAAUUUAUUUUCUACAUACUUAAAAUACCCUAGAUCAAGUCUAACGGAGCUAAUUGUCAAUUCGAAAGUCUCAACAUCGAAAACGAGUUGAAAGCACGGAGCAUUCUGUGCUUCAAAAAGUAUAUCGGCCCCACCCUAUAUAUAUAUAUAUAGUGUAGAGCUACUAUACUAUCGGAAGUAUAGAGGACUUGAUGUUUUCGACUUUUUGACCAUUGAAUCAAGAAUUGUUCGGUCGAAAUGAUUGUGAUUCUGCCUAGAGUUAAGUAAUAUUCCUAGGAUUGUGUGGUCCCCACAAAGUACUAGUAUUAAUCCAAAGCUUAUAAAUGAUUAAAAAAGUUGAUCUAAGGGCCAAAAAAUUGAAAGCAUCAGAUUUUCUAUAAUUUCGAUAGUAUAGUAGCUCUACACUCUCUCUCUCUCUCUCUCUAUAUAUAUAUAUAUAUAGAGAGAGAGAGAGAGAGAGUGACUGGGAUAUUACCGAUAGCACCAAGCGUUUGAUACUAUUGAGUUUUCCACCGUUAGAUUUAAUUCUUUGACUAUUUUCAUCCGUUGAAUUAUACUAUUAAACCAAUAACUCACUCAAUCCUAAAGGGCCAACAUCAGCCUAGUUCUAUAUAUGUGUAUGUUUGAAAAGUAUAAUAAGAAUAAGAAAAAAAAACACCUCGUGGGUAAUUCGCAUACCCAGCUACGUACGUACCCGUUGGUAUGAAUAAGAAUGCUGGCUGUCUAAAUAUUUGUGAAUACAUUUUAUUCAUACCUAGAUAACCUGCGAAUAUAAUUAUCAGCCCAGCCACGAAUCAUUCAACACUAAAGUCAUGUUUUUACACACAAGUUUACUCAUUUUUGUAGAAUGUUUUCGUUGGUGGGAGCGAUACGUCCUCAGCCACUGUGGUUUGGGUGAUGACGGAACUAAUGAGGCACCCGCAAGCGAUGGAAAAAGCUCAAGAAGAAGUGAGAAGCCUCGUCGGGGGGAAAGGGAAGGUGGAGGAGAGCGACAUCGACCAACUACGCUACCUCAAGUGCGUUGUGAAGGAGACCAUGCGGUUGCACCCGGUGGCUCCCUUGCUGAUCCCUAGAGCAACGUUGCAGCAUUUCAAAAUCGACGGCUAUGAUGUCCCGCCCAAUACGAUGAUAUACAUCAAUGCUUGGGCGAUCGGAAGGGACGGGAGUUACUGGGAAUCUCCGGAGGCAUUCAAGCCGGAGAGGUUCAUGAAUAACACGGAUCUCGAGUUUGCAGGAAAGGACUUCAAUUUGAUACCAUUUGGGGAAGGUCGCAGGAUCUGCCCAGGGAAGAACCUCGGGAUCAAAACGGUUGAGAUCAUGCUCGCCAACCUUCUUUACUGCUUCGACUGGGAACUUCCAACGGGCACGACAAAGGAGGAUAUCAACAUGGAUGAGGCGCCAGGCCUUGCUGUGCACAAAAGAGAUGCUCUCCGCCUUCUCGCCACUAGACAUAUAUAGCGGCAUCAACAGCUAAAAUAUAUACACAUAUGUAUAGAUGGAUCUAGUGCACUGCUACUAUACUAUAAUAAAUAUUUACUAUACUAUAAUAAAUAUUUACUAUAAUAAAUAUUUACACAUAUAUAUAGAUGGAUCUAGUGAAAAUAAUAUAUACAAUAAAUAUUUUAGCUCUUGGAUGUUUAGAGUUGACAAUUUGGAAAUUCUAUUUGUAUGGAUCUAAGAGCCAAAAGAUCUGUAAUAAUUACUAUUCCUCUAUUAUCUAUAAUAUAGUAGCUUAAACUGAGUGUGUGUGUAUAUAUAUGUAUAAUGCGUCUCACUGAGAUGCACUCUUAUUCGCUUACCAUUAUACAUCUAUAUAUCUAUCAUUUUUCUAUCUACCUAUAUCACAUACUUUCUUAUCUUACUAGCUAUCUUAUGUGUACAAUAUGCAAAUCAUAGGCAUAUAGAAGCUUGAUCACAAAAGUGUUUAAGAAAAAUCUGAAAGCCAACUUGGCCUGACCUACAUUUCCCUUUCAUCUAGGAAGUUUUUUAUUACUAUGUUAAUUUGAUGAAGGAUUCAUUCAUCUAAAUAGGAUUUAAACUGUUUGGAGCAUUUAAUAUAAGAUUCAUCUAGAAUUUACUGGCUCAAAUAAAAAAAACCAGUUCAAUGGUUUCUCAAGUACCGCUAGGGGUGUAAUAUGGGCCGUGCCGGGCCCAAGCUAUCAAGCCUCCAGCCCGGUAUGGCCCUUUGGCCCGGAAGGCACGGGCCAUGCCGGGCCAGCCCGGUAUGGCCCUUUGGCCCGGAAGGCACGGGCUAGUGUUUGGGUUUUGGAUUUUUAGUGGGUACUGGUGUGGAUAUGAUUUUCUAAAAUUAAUCGAAUUUGGGUUUGGGUUCUGAUUUCGGGUUUGACAGUCGAUUUCAGGUUCGAGUUUUUGAAAAUCCGCCUCGAAUCCUAUCCUUUUACAUCUCUACUGUGGAUAAAAAAAAAAAGAUAGAGAAAGCAAAAGCAAACACAGAAUAGAGAUUAGAUAGUAUAGUGAAAAUAAAAUUACUAAAUUACCCAUUCUUUAAAGGACUAAAAUGCCUUUUUUUGGGUACCUGGAAAGUGGUAACCGGUACCCCUUUUAAAGUGACCUGUUAUUGCAAAUCAUAAUUUUUAAAAAAUUAAAUCUGAGCCGUUGAAUUGAAAUAAAUAAACGGUAUAAAAAAAUAAUAAGUAUAGAAUCACUAUUCAUAAACUACAGUUUGAAACUGCCAGAGAAAUUCAAUAAUUACAAUAGAAAAAAUUUUACCUAAAUUAACUACAAUUUUAGCUACAAUAGUUGUAAAGAAUAAUCUUAAAUAAAAGGCAAACUAAUCUAUCUAAUCAUUUAACCUUUUCUUCAACAAUGGAUAUAAUCUCAUAGCUCCAUGCAUGUAUAACGGGAUACAAUUCGUUAAUACAAUUUUUAGUUAUGCGCGACCAUAUAUAUUUAUUGCAUUUUUUACUAUAUUCAACCAAUUUUAAUACAAAUAAUUGGAGCUGUUAUAUUUUUAUUCUCCAAAAUCAAAAGGUUGCGGAGAACAAUAAUCUUCGGCCUCGUUUGAUAUUUUUACUGUUCUCAAACUUUUUUUGGUUUCAAAUGCAAAUUAUAAUUUAUGUAUGAUUGGAUGAUGCUGGGAGGGACUUAAUUAUGUUUGUAGUUGCUAUUAGCUUGUAAGGCAUCUUGAAAACAUCUUCUCAAGAAUGGAUUUAAUUAUGUUUGCAGUUGCUACUUCGCCUGUAACUCAUAUUGAAAACAUCUUUUCAAGAAAUACAAAGAAGUGGGAAAAUUUUUUUUUGUACUUUGGUCGAAGAAAUCCUUGGACGGUCAAGUGCAAACAAUUAAUGUGAGUCCAUCAGAUUUAUGUUUAAGAAAUAGAAGAUAAUAACAAUACAAAAUGUGGCCCUAAUUUAAUAUUCUCGUGUCCCCUUCUAUCACGGUUCUGAGAUAUAAACGACAAUUUGGCAUGGACGGGUGGAGAAAGAGUCAAAACAAAAAAUAUAUAGAAAAAAGAUCAUUAUGUUUUAAGUCAAUUAAAUAUCUUCUUUUGAAAGAAAAUUACAAUACAAAAAAAAUAGUUGGGAAGCGUGGUUACCUAUUAUGUAGCAAUUGUACUUUAUCACCUAUAUUUCAAGCCGAACAAAAUUUUUAUUUAGAAAGAAAAGUAUAAUAAAAUUAUUUUUAAAAAAAAGUCUGAUAAAAUGGGUGAAUUUUAGAAGCACAAUUAAAUUGACUUGGGUCAUGUUGCAGUGCUGUUGUCGUAUCCUAGACUUGUGUGUUCCUGAAAUGUCACACUGCAUUUUUUUAUGGGACACGCAGACACGGACUGAGAACCUUAACAAAAUCACAGCGGAUUAUGAGAUUAGCAUUGCCUCCUGAGCAUUUACGUAUCUAGUUGGAAUUCAGCGAUAAUAACAGCAAAAUUGCUAUUUACGUUGGACUUAAUUUUUGCCAAACAUCUCAUAUGAUAAUUGCAUAAAAACAAAAAAACACAUGGCAUAUGAUGACACCUCAUGCACAGCACUGGUAGGAAAGUCCAAUUUUGAGAUAUUAAGAUUUCACCCUAUACCGACUGUCUCUAGAGCAAGUGGUGAAAAAUUUAAUGAUUGGUAUUCUGGGUCUCAAAUUUGAAUUCUAAUUUAUUCAUAUUUCUAACUAAAAAAAAAAAAAAAAAAGAGAUUUCACCCUGUGCGCCGAUUUCAACUCAUUAAUACUUAACUUGUCCAUAACUUCUUUAAGCAUAACAAAAACACAAAAAAUUUCAGCCUUCUGAUAUGGUCACCAUUUUUUUUAAUGCUAAUUCUAUAUAAUUUAAUAUACUGACAGAAUGACUGAUUAUUUUAUAAUAAUUUUUGGCCGGCAAUCAAUGAAAACUCAAUUUUACAAAAUUUGAAAAUAAGAAAAAAUACUUCUAUUUUUUCUUAUUUUGGGUUACCAAACAACUAUAUUGGAUGUAAAAAUUAUAAGCAAUUUAUCAUUUUCUCUCACACUAAUUUAUGUAGAAAAUUUAAUUUUUUUUAAAUACAGCUACCAUAAAUCAAAUCAUAUAGCUUUUGUGAUAAGCACAAAGAAACGGUGUGCAACAUCAAAGUUAAGGCUUCGUUUGGAUUGCGGGGAGAUAGUGUUACGUGCGGCGAGAAAGUACGAUGGAUAAAUAUUCUGUUUGUUUUAGUACGUAAUAUUGCGUUACGCAUAUCGCGAUGAGUCGGUUACGAUAUAUUUUCCGCAGUUCCACCGGAGAACGCAGAAACAUAUUCCUAAAUGUUUUUUUCUCAACUCUAUUUUAUCUAAUAACAUUUGAUAUGACUCAAUACCAAACUAAACCUAAGAAACUCACGGUCUACCGUGGUUUGUUAAUUUUACGUUUAUCCAAAAGUCCUAACUUUUCAUUCUUAAAAUUUAAAUUUUUUAAAUUUAAUAUAUAAAAAUUUGUAAUAAAGUCAUGAAUGAAAGUAAAAUCAAUAUAUGACAGCGGAGCGGACUGAGAGCCGUUCAACAAUACGACGUUGUUCGGGAGCUACGUACCCACUUAAACUUUGUUCGGUGGCACCUACUGGAUUUUUUUAUGUACUUAGGGGUCGCGCAUGCAUGAGAUUUUUAUCUACUUAGGUGUCCGCCACAACAUUUCUUUAAAUUGCAUCUGCCGAGAUACUUUGGCCUUCAAACUUAUUAAUCUACUGUCUUAUUCAAAAUUAUUGAUGUAUGCCUUCAAACUCGAACUCGAAUGAAACAGAUAUAUUCGAUACUAAAUGAAUAUAGAUUCGAAUAUAGAUAUAAAAAAUAAAAAUUCGACAGAUAUUGAUUCAGAUAUAAAUUUUGACGGUAUCCGACCCGAACACGAAUCCAAAUUUUUUUGUAUUAUAUAUAAUAUAUUAUAUAAAUAUUUGAUGUUAUAUUUAAAUUUGUAUUUUAAAAAUUUAGAUUUAAUAUAAUAUAUUUUGAAAAUUUAAAAAAAAAUAAUUGUUUCGGGUUCAAAUUUUUGAGUUCGGAUUCGGAUUCGGAUUUUGAAUUUUUAGUCGGAUUCGGAUUCGGAUUUGAGUUUCGGGUUUGGAGUCGGGUACGGAUUCGAAUUUUUAAAAAUUCGCUCCGAAUCCAACCUGUUGACAUCUGUACUCACCGGUUAAGGACAACUCUCAUAUCACUUCCACCUUCACUCCGGUUCUCCUCGAUAAAUAAAUAAUAUAAAAUAAGAGAAAUACUACAUGCACCUCCAAAUACAUAUAAAAAUAUUAUUAAAUAAUAAAAUUUGCAUAUUUGGUAAUCAUGUACUUUUAUUUCAAAAAAUUGAAAAUAAAUAAGGCACGUCAUCAAUUUUAAAACCUAAACCAUUCACCAACUCUGAUAUAUAUAUAUAUACAAAUCUUAUUUACAAAAAAACAUAAAUAUGUCCAUACAAGGAGGCAAUUGUCUUAUUUGGAACUGCAGAGUACUGCUGCGUUGUUUUGUAAUUGUGGUUUCAAUUGCGCCAGCAAUGGUAGUAUACAUUAAAAUCUAGGGAAAUCUACCUAAUAGCUUCUUUUUUUAGGAGAAUUAGAAGUUUCGAAUCAAAAGUUUUCCUAUAAAUCUGAUUUCAGCUGUGCUGCAGCAGUUUAUUGAUAACGUUUUGGCAGAGGUUAAAAUAUGGCAUGGAUCGUAUAUAUUACGAGUGCCGCUCCGGAGUCUGGCUAUCUUGCGUUGAUGUCGUAGUAAUUUGGUUGGGAAUUUUGCUCUCCACUGGCUGUCCUCGAGGUGGUGUACGGUGUAGUUUCGACAGACGGGACGGACGUGUCGUAGUCCCUAUGGAUUGGAUCAAUGUGAUGCAUGUUUCUAUCUAUAGAUAGCCUAUAUUGAUUAGUGAUAGUAUAGCGACAUGUAGCUGUAGAGUUUUUUCUAAUUUUUCUUACUAUCCUUUGUAUAUAGUUCUGUAGACUUAGUGGGUGAGUCGUUGAGGUCAGUGACGGUACCCACUCAGGACUACUCUGUUUUGCAGUAGUUCUCACUCCCAGUUGUUGACACAUUUUGCAGAGCCUUCGUCUGCAGCGGCUGCUAUUGUUGAUUCUGACCGUUGUAAGCGAGUCGCGAGUUAGAUCCCCACCAGCCCUGUUGCCGUGCUAGAAGAGCACCCAUUAGAGAUAGUUUUGUGGUUUUUAUACAUAAGGUUAUGUUGUUGUUGUACUCGCUAGAGCGAGUUGCUUAGUGGACUUUUGUAUGUACAGUGCCUCUUUAUAUUUUAUAUAUACGUGUUUUAAUUCUUGCAGCUUGAUACACUUGGUUGUGACUAUGAAUUAUUUACAGGUACAGCUAUCACUUCGUGUACAUGAAAAAUUUCUAUAUAUACGGCUGGUCUGUUGGCGUGCCCGAAAAAACGUGAUAAUUCGGAACGUAACAUUAAAUUUGAGUUAUUAAUGAUAUUUUCACUUUAAAAUUUGAAUGUAUCAUUUAGUUUUAUAAAUUUAAUUAAUAUACUUUAUAUAAUUCUCGCAACUAAAUUUAUUAAAAUAAAUAUUAAUUAAACUCCAUUAAUCUUUUUUUUAUUUUUUAUUAUACAAUCUAUACCUAAAUGAUUAAUAUUAUAAAAUCAAAAUAUAUGUUUAAUACAUGUAAUUUAAACUAUUUAAAAAUUAUUUAUAAAAAAUUAUAUAUUUUUAAUUUUUAUAAUAACAGAGAAUAAAAAUUGUUAUUUUACUUCAACAAUAGUUGCCCGCCGCAACGCGCAGGUAUCUGCACUAAUUAUUAUUAAAAUAAUUUAAAAAUUAUUUAUAAAAAAUUAUAUAUUUUUAAUUUUUAUAAUAACAGAGAAGAAAAGUAGAUUGGAUUAAAAAAAAAAUCUUAAUUACCUCAAGUCAGUCCAAAUCAAUAGAAAGAGAAAACCAUUAAAAUAAAAAAAAAUGGUAGGGUCAGCAUCCACCCAACCCCGCCGCCUUCCCUCUUCUCCCAUCCUCCACGUGGACUAAAACCACUGAGGAUUGAGGAUUCAUAAUAUGUACUAGUGCGCACGUUUCUAUAGAAAUAAAUAAAAUUAAAAAAUAAAAAAUAGCAGUUGUUACAGAAAAAUAUAAGAAUAAAAAUAUAAAAAAAAUUAAAAAAGAAUAAAAAAAUUAUAAGAAUAAUAAAUUUUAUUUAUAACAACAGUGGUUCGAGUGUGAAAUUACAGCUCAUAAAAGCUUGAGAAUUAAAGCUUCACGCGCCUCAUACUUUGAGCAAAAAAAUAUUAUCUAUUAAAAUUCGAAAACUAAAGUGUCAUAUGUGUUAUAGUUUGAGAAUCAAAAGUGUAAUUUAUCUUUUUUUAUAUUUUAAAUUAAGAAAAGAUAUAAUUGAACUUUAUUUGAGGAGAGAAUAUGUUAAACUAUGUAAUAAAUUUUGGAAUGUUUAAUUGUUAAAAUUAAAAGUCGACAAAUCAUAUUUUGAAUAUUUUAAAAUAUUUUAAAUGUGAAAUUAUUUGUUCAUCAGAUUAUAAAUAUGAUAGUGAAGUUUAAUAUUAAAAUUAAAAUAACAUACAGAAUUUUUCUAAACUACGAAUGAUUUUGAAUCAGCUAUCCAAUCUUUCAAAAUUUUAUUUUUACAAUCUGACUAUUUUAUAUGUUAGAUUUGAGUCAGUUAAUGAUGCAUUGACUUUAAAAUUUGAAUGUACCGUUUAGUUUUCCAAAUUUAAUUAGUACUUCAAGUAAUUUUCGCAACUAAAUUUAUUAAAUAAGCAGUUAACUUAAACUUCAUCCAUCGCUUUUUUAUUUUUUAUUAUACAAUUUAUAUCUAAGUGAUCGAUAUUAUAAAAUUAAAAUUUAUAUUUAAUAUAUAUAAUCUAAACUAUUUAAAAGUACGCAUAUAUUUUAAAUUUUUAUAAUAAAAAAAUAUUAAUUUUUUAAAAAAAUUUGCUUUUCAAAAUAAUAGAAAAAUUAAAAUUAAAAAUUAAAAAUUUUAAAAAUAUAUAAAAGGGGUGGUCCCCAGCCCGCUUGGCCCACGCGCACUUUGGCCCCCCGCCAUCUUCUUCCACUCCCUGCCAGCACCCCAAGCUUCCCAGCGCGUGCCUACUCUUCUCCACCUUCCACCGAACUCCGCGUGGACUUCUUCUUCCCCACGCAGCGUAGUCCCCGGCGGCGCCCGCACACACGCGCGCGCGCCACCCUGCGCCCCCCGCUGCGCUCGCACCCCGCCGCGCCGUCAGCGCUUCGCCGCCAUUUAUUAUCAAAACUGAGGAUUUCAAUAUAAUAUAAAGACUAUAGAUAGCUGUACAUAAUAUCAUAUAUAUAAUAUAUAAAAUUAUUAAUCAAAUUAGUAUUAAAAAAAGAGUAUUAUUAUAAGAUGAACAAAAUUAUAUCGACGAAUAAAAAUAGAACAUAGAAAAUGAUAGAUGAAUAGAUUAAAUGAAGAAUAGCAUAUAAAAUGAAGAAUGAUUAGUAGAUAUGAUGAGGAAAUAAGCAUGAAGAAUUGAUUUAAAACUAUAAGAAAAGGGAUGAUAAAUUAUAGAAAAAUAAUUAAUAUGUUAUAAAAAUAAAAAUAUAAACAUAUUCAUAAUAAAAUGGGUAAGUGAAUAGAGGGGAAGAGAAUUAAUCGAGUAUAAGAUGAGUAUUAAAUUAAUAAAGUAAGAAAAGAAAAAAAAGAAAAUAGUAUAUUUGAUAAAAGGAGUAUAUAAUAUUAAAGAUAUAGGAAGAUUGAUAGUGAAUAAAGAUUUUGAAUGGGAUAUAAUGAAAGUAAAAAGAAUGCCAAGGUAUAAGUAAUUUAAAGUGUUAUAAAAUUAUAAUUUAUAUAAUAAUAAUCAUGGGAUUAGUAAAUAAUUGAAUAAUGUUAUUAUAAAGUGAGAGUUAAAAUUGAAAAUGAUAUUUAUUUAAAUAAAUUAUAAUAUAAUAUAAAAUAUUUAAUUUUUUAAUAAUAUAUAUUAUAUUAUAUAUAUAUAUAUAUUAUAUACAGCGACUUCUAAUUUAGGACCAUUUUUUAUUGUAAUCAUAUAACAUGCCAAUCUAAGACAAAUUUUCACACGUCAUUUCACACUCUUUUUUUUCUAAUACUAAUUUAGAGAAAGAUAGUAUGCUAAUCGCUUCGUAUAUUUUUUUAAAAAUAAAUUUAUCUGAAAAUAUAAAUCAAGUUUUUUUGCAUUUAGAUUCCUGACAAAUUUAUAUUUUAAAAUAGCUCUAUCAAAAUUUAAUUUACAAAAAUGAUCCUGAGCCUGCCACGCAGGCGCCACAUCAGCGCACACGGGCAAGGUUGGGCCCUUGUGUUAAGUUGAACACGGUAAACCAUUCACCGUGUUCAAACACGGUGAAUGGGUUCACCGUAUUUAGUACUAUUUUUUGUUGUACGUAUUUUUUGUAUAUUGAAAAGUGGAAUAAGGAGUAAGGAUGUCAAUAGAUAUGGAUAUCCGAAAUAUUAUCCGAAUUCAAACCGAAAUAAAUUAUAUAUAUAUAUAUAUAUAAUAUAUAUAUAUAUAUAUAUAUGUAAUUUAUUUUUGUUUAUUUAUACAAUAUAUAAAAUAUUUAAUAAUUUUUAUUCCUUAGAUCUUCAUCCAACCUGUUUUAAAAAUAUAUACCGUUGAAUGAAAAUCUAAGGAAUAAAAAUUAUUAAAUAUUUUAUAUAUUGUAUAAAUAAAUAAAAAUAAAUUACAUAUAUAUAUAUAAUUUAUUCGGGUUUUGAUUGGAUAAUAUUUCGAAUAUCCAUUCCUAUUGACAUCCCUACUCCUUAUUCCACUUUUCAAUAUCCAUUCCACUUUUCACCGUGUUCAACUUAAUACUCUGGCCCCAGCCCCACCCGCGUGGCGCUGACGUGGCGCAUGCAUAGCAGAGAUAGGACCAUUUUUGUAAUUUUAAUUUUGAUAGGGCUAUUUUUAAAAUAAAAAUUGCUCAAAAGGCUAUUUGCAAAAAAAAACCCUAUAAAUCAAUCAGAAUUUAAAUUUGAAACCUCGGUAUCAAUCACUAAGUCUUUUGUCCUUUACGCCAGGAUGGUCAACAUCCAAAAAAUAAUUAUUUAAUCUUUAGAAAAAUUUUAAUUCUCAGAUGAAAAUCGUAAUUCUAACAAGUUAUGACUCUUUUUGGAUUGCAAACUUAGCAAUACUUCUCAUUAUAUAUAUGCAUAGCAUGCAUGAACUCCUUAUAAUUCAUACCAAAAGCAUCCCAAAGUUUCUAUGGCUCUUCUUCACAUGAUUGCCUCCCUGCCUUUUGUUGUUCUCCUACUACUCCCUCUUCUACUCCUCACAAGAAGAAAGGAGGGCAGCACAUCACUAAAACUUCCCCCGGUCCCUCCCAAGCUCCCAGUAAUCGGCAACCUCCACCAGCUUGGAAGACUGCCCCAUCACUCCCUCUCUCGGCUCUCGCAACGAUACGGCCCCCUCAUGUACCUAAAACUUGGCCAUGAGCCGACCGUCGUGGUCUCCUCUGCCAACAUGGCCCAGGAGAUCCUAAAGACGCAUGAUCUAGAAUGCUGCAGCCGACCGCCCCGCACCUCACAUACAAAGCUCUCCUACGGUUGCUCGGACAUCGCCUUUGCGGUGUACGGCGGGCCAUGGAGGGAGCUCCGAAGAAUUUCCAUCAUCGAACUUUUCAGCGCCAAGAAGAUCGCCUCGUUUCAAUCCAUUAGAGAAGAAGAGGUGGAAAGAACUAUGAGCUCGAUAUCCUCUUAUUCAAGCAGUUCUCUCCCUGUCGAUUUGAGCAAAGAACUGAUCGCGCUCACGAGCACAAUCACUUGUAGAAUGGCUUUCGGAAGGAGCUACCAUGAUGUUGGAAGCAGAUUUCAGAUGAUUCUGAAUGAAGCACAGGCCGUGCUCGGGGGCUUUUUCAUCGCGGACUACUUGCCGAUCAUCGGAUGGGCCGAUUGGCUCACAGGGAUGAGAGCGAGACUCGAGAAGAACUUUAUCGAUCUUGAUCGGUUUUACCAACAAGUUCUCGAUGAGCAUCUUGAUAGAGCGCAGCAGCAGCAGCGUGACUCUAGCGAAGACCUUGUGGAUAUUCUACUGCGCAUGCAGAAGGAUGAGAAAAGCUUGACCACAGACCAGAUCAAAGGAGCCCUUAUGGUAAGAAAUAUCCAAUACUGAAUCACAAAAAACAUUCUUCUAUAUUAUUCGACACAAGUUUACCCUUUUUUGCAGAAUGUUUUCAUUGGUGGGAGCGAUACAUCCUCAGCCACCACGGGAUGGGCGAUGACGGAGCUAAUGAGGCAUCCACAAGCGAUGGAAAAAGCUCAAGAAGAAGUAAGAAGCCUCGUCGGGAGCAAAGGAAAGGUAGAGGAGAGCGACAUCGACCAACUACACUACCUCAAGUGCGUUGUGAAGGAGACCAUGCGAUUGCACCCGGUGGUUCCGAUGCUUAUUCCAAGAACAACGUUGCAGCAUUUCAAAAUCAACGGCUAUGAUGUCCCGCCCAACACAACGAUACUCAUCAAUGCUUGGGCGAUUGGAAGGGACGGGAGUUACUGGGAAUCGCCGGAGGUGUUCAAGCCGGAGAGGUGAAGAGGUGGUGGGAUCUAUCGACUUUCUUAGAGAGAGAGAGAGAAAUAUAUAUAUUAUAUAUCCCAAUUAAAAUAUGUUCAAAGAUGUUUAUAUUAUUUACAGUUUAUAUAUAAGGAUGUUUUAAAUUAAAAGUAUACAACAGGAAUGUUUUCAGGACUAUAAAAAUUUAUACAGGGGCAGUAAUUUUAAGUAAUUUCUUUAAAUCAAUUAUUAUCUAAUUUAUAAAUUGGGAGUAAUCAAAAAUUGUAAAAAUAAGUAAAAUAUAAUAUGACAAUACAAAAAAGCUUCCUAUAUAAACACUACCAUUUUAACUUUUUUAUUUAUUAAGAGAUUGUUAUUGUUUAAACCCUCUGUAUAAAUUUUUAUAAUACUAAAAAUAUUAUUAUAUAUAUAUAAAACAUUCUCAUAUAAAUAAUAAGUAAUAUAAACGUUCUUAUACAUGCUAUAAUUGAGAUUAUAUAUAUAUGUUCUCUCUCCUACACACUCACCAGGUCGCACCCGGUGCGUAGUGUAUUCGAGGUCCUGGUACGUGUUACGGUAUUUGGGCACUUGAUGAACAAAAGCAAAAAGCGGCUCUAUUUCUACCUUUUUCUUUUCGCGAAAAAAAAAAAAUAGGAGUUUAGACCUUUCAUUAAAGAAAGCAUUUUUUAAUUAAAUGCGGUUUAGUUUAUGAUCUUUUUGAUAAAAGUCCAGCCUUUAAAAAAAUCAUUGUAAAUGCACUUUAAUUUUUGUGAGAAUCACCAUGAAUUUCUCCUAGUAACUUGACCAGGAAAAAUAAACUCCAUCAUUUGGUGGUAUAGGAUCUACUUACGUACGGAUUUUUGUUACCGGAAUGCAAAGAUUAUAGGGUUCGUCAAAUAUAGUAUAAAUUAACUUACUUAAAGUAAACUAAUUACAUCAUUAUAAAUUGUCCUUCAUAGUUGUCGAUUUAUGAAAGACCUAUUUUUUUUUAACGAGAUCGUCCACGCACCCAGUCCGGUCCAGCCAAAGGUCUAUAAAAAGGCGUUGUUUAACAGAAUUUUAUUAAUUCAUUUUACACGCUUAGAUUGAAUAUGACUCACAAGAAUUAAGAACUAUCUAAUUAAAAACAUGCAACCUCAUCAUCACUCUAGCUCGAACAUAUAUGUUUACUAACCGUAUAAUAUGAGUAUUAAUUCUAUCGGUCACUCUAUCUAUUGACUAUAUCCGUCUAUGUAGCUCUCUUACUAUCUAUCUAGCUUGUCUCCUCCAUCUAUCCUCGCGUAGAGUGAUCGAUUCUGCGCAAGACAUUUUAAUCGACAUCUGCGACGAUAUAAAUCACCGUUCUUCGGCUUCCCGUACAGAAAACACGUGCCAUUGCGGGCCACGGAGUAGGUACAGCUACAGGAGGAAGCAGCAUGGGCAGCCUUCAAGGGUCAGCUUCCUCAUUUCUUCCAACCGCUCGUACUAGAGCUGGCAAAAAUAGGGCUCCAAGAAGGGGCCUGUCUAGGACGCUGGAAGUGGUUUACCAUAGUAUAACUUCAGGAAGGGACGCUUGAGCUCUAGGCGCGAUAAGUACUNUUUUAGAAAAAUCUGAAAGCCAACUUGGCCUAACCUACAUUUCCCUUUCAUCUAGGAAGUAUUUUAUUUCUAUGUUAAUUUGAUAAAAGAUUCAUUCAACUAAAUAAGAUUUAAACUGUUUGGAGCAUUUAAUAUAAGACUCAUCUAGGAUUUACUGGCUCAAAUAAAAAAUCCAGUUCAAUGGUUUCUCAAGUACCGCUAGGUAGGGGUGUAAACGAACAGAACAUGAGCGAGUCGUGUUGUGUUCGGCUCGUUUAAUAAACGAGCCAAACAUGAGCUGGCUCGCGUUAAAGUAUCGAGCGAAAAAAUUCAGCUCGUGUUCAGCUCGUUAAUAAACGAGCCGAACACAAGCUGGCUCAUGAGCUGGCUAACGAAUAAUAAGUUAAAAAGAAUUAAAUUGAAUAUAUAUAAAAAAAUAAAUUUAUAAAAUCUUAUCCAUUAAAUUUUGAUCUAAUAGUUGAAACUUUAUAUAUAAAUGAAUUUUUUUAUAAUUGAGCUCGUCUUUAUAUUUUUAAUUUGCUAAAAAUUAAAUAAUAAAAAUAUAUAUUAUAUAUAUAAUUAUUUAUUUAUAUAUAAAAAUAUAAAUUAAAUAAAUUAUAUAAAUAUAAAAUAUAUGUAUUCGAGCUGUUAUCGAGCCGAACACGAGCGAGCUGACCCCAGCUCGUGUUCGACUCGUUUAUUAAACAAGCUAAAAAAUUCAGCUCGUAUUCGGCUCGUUUACUAAACGAGCGAUUCGAUCUCGGGCUCAUUUCGAGCCGAACACGAGUUGGAUUGCCAUCCCUACCAUUAGGGGUGUAAUGUGGGUUGUGCCAGACCGACACGACCCACACUAGCCCGACUAAAACGGGCUAGGAGCUGGCCCGGUUCGAACUGGUUUCAAAUUCGGGCUGGACGGUGCUGAGCCCAAGCUAUCUAGCCUCCAGCCCGAUAUGACCCUUUGGUCUGGAAGGCACGAGCCGGGCCGUGCUCCAGGCCGACCUCUUAAAAUAGUAAUUUUUCUAUUUUUUAAAAAAAUUAAUAUAAAAUCUAAAAAUAUAAAUAAUUAUAUUUAAAUAUAUAUUUUGAUUAGAUAUUUAAAAUUUAUAAAAAUUAUUAUAAAACAAUAAAUAUUUUAAAAAUUUAAAAAAUAAAUUUGUAUUAUUUUUUUGAAAUGAAUUUUUGGUCCAAUGAACUAAAAACUGUUUGGUCUAUUGGACCAACAUCACUCUUCCCAAAGUAGCAAACCUUGGGCGGAGAGCUCCUGGGGAGGAGAGCCAACUAGGAGCUCAGACCCUUGGGGUCCGGGCCGUGCUAGCCUGGUUGGCAUGGCCCAAGCAGGCCGUGCCAUGUCGGGCCACUCAUUUCUCCUCGGCCUAGGCUCGCUUUAGACAAUGCUAUGCUGGAUUGUCAAGCCGCAAGAGGUAGGCCGGCAUGUGGCCGUGCCGUGCUGUGCUGUGCUUAGCCCGGCAUGUGGUCGUGCCGCUAAAGUUGCAAUUAUACCAUUUAUCAAAUAUAAAAAAGAUAGAAUAUCUAAGAGAUUAUUUGGUUUCACGCAGCAAUAACUUGUGUAACUGUAUUUUCAUAUCCAAUUAUCUAUGGAGAUAAUUUUAUUGUUUAAAUUGAUGCAAUAGAAUCCAAAUAAACUACAAGAAAUGAUUCACUACUUUAUUUUAUAAAAAAUAAAAAAGAUCUUAACCGUUGAUUAAUAAAGGUUAAAAAUGUCAUUUAAUUAUGUAGCAGGUUAAAAAGUUAUUUCAUUAGAGGAUAUUUUUCUAAUGUAAAAAAAAUUAAGAAAGUUUUGAUUAAUAUCCUAAAUUUAGCAUUAAUUUUAUACUAAUUUAAGCAUUAAUUUAAGAUUUGAUUGAUAUCUCAAAUUUUAGGCAUUAAUUUUAGAAAUUUUAGAAUUCUUCUAAUUUAGGCAUUAAUUUAAAUUUUAUAAAAUUUAGAAAUAUAAAUAUUUCUAAAUAUGUUGAAUUUAAAUAUUUAAUAUUUAAAUUAAAGAAAUUUUGUGUUACUAUUUUAACAAAUUUAUUGUUAAUAAUAACGAAUUCAACAUAUUUAAUUUGUUUAAGAAAACUUUUAAAUUCCUCUAGUUUAGAUAUUAUUUUUUUUAUCACAAACUUUUUUAAACAAUUGAAUGUAGGUAAAUAAAAAAUUAAAUUCAAUGUAUUUAUAUGUUAUAAUGUAUUUUAAUGAAAUAUCUAUGGAUUACGAAUAUAAAAUGAUAAAAUAUCUGUGAAUUAUAUAUGUCAAUGGAUAUGGAUACUCAUAAUUUUAUCUGAAUUCGAAUAUAAACUCAAAAGCAAAAGCAGUGAAUUUAUCUAUGCUAAAUGGAUAUAGUUUUAAAUAUGGAUAUCAAAAACGAAACCCGACGAAUUUGAAUUCGGGUAUGGAUUUUAAUUGUAUUUGACCCGAAGCCGAAACCGACCGGAACCCAAAUUUAUUACGUUAUAUAUAAUAUAUAUAAAUGUUCGAUGUUAUAUUUGAGUAUAUAUUUUAAAAUUUAGAUUUAAUUUAAUAUAUUUUAAAAUAUUGUAAAGAGAAAUAAAUAUUUCAGGUUCGGAUUUUCGGGUUCGGGCUAGUGUUUGGGUUUUGAAUUUUUAGUGAGAUACGGGUGUGUAUAUAAUUUUCUAAAAAGUCAUCGAAUUUGGGUUUGGGUUCGAGUUUUGGGUUUGAUAGUCAAGUUCGGGUUCAUGUUUUUGAAAAUCCGCCUCGAAUCCUACCCUUUUACAUCUCUGCAGUGGAUGAAAAAAAAAAAGAUAGAGAGAGAAAAAGCAAACACAAAGAGAAUAGAGAUUCGAUAAUAUAAUGAAAAUAAAAUUAUUAAAUUGCCCAUUUUCAAAGGACUAAAAUGCCUUUUUUGGAGUACCUGGAAACCGGUGUCCCUCUCAAAGUGACCUGCUAUUGCAGGUUACAAUUUUUUAAAAAUUAAAUCUGAGCUGUUGAAUUGAAUUGAAAUGAAUGAGCUGUAUAAAAAAAAAUAAGUAUAGAAUCACUACUCAUAAACUACAGUUUGAAACUACCAAAGAAAAUUCAAUUAUUACAAUAGAAAAAAUCUUACCUAAAUUAACCACUAUUUUAGCUACAAUAGUUGUAAAGAAUAAUCUUAAAUAAAAGACAAACUAAUCUAUCUAAUCAUUUAACCUUUUCUUCAACAAUGAAUAUAAUCUCAUAGCUCCAUGCAUGUAUAACCGUAUACAAUUUGUUAAUACAAUUUUUAGUUAUGCGCAACCUUUUGAUUUUGGAGAAUAAAAAUAUAACAGCUCCAAUUAUUAUUUGUAUUAAAAUUGGUCGAAUAUAGUAAAAAAUGCUAUAAAUAUAUUAUAUAAAUGGUUGCGCAUAACUAAAAAUUGUAUUAACAAAUUGUAUACGGUUAUACAUGCAUGGAGCUAUGAGAUUAUAUUCNUAAAUUAACCACUAUUUUAGCUACAAUAGUUGUAAAGAAUAAUCUUAAAUAAAAGACAAACUAAUCUAUCUAAUCAUUUAACCUUUUCUUCAACAAUGAAUAUAAUCUCAUAGCUCCAUGCAUGUAUAACCGUAUACAAUUUGUUAAUACAAUUUUUAGUUAUGCGCAACCAUUUAUAUAAUAUAUUUAUAGCAUUUUUUACUAUAUUCGACCAAUUUUAAUACAAAUAAUAAUUGGAGCUGUUAUAUUUUUAUUCUCCAAAAUCAAAAGGUUGCUGAGAACAAUAAUCUUCGGCCUCGUUUGAUAUUUUUACUGCUCUCAAACUUUUUUCGGUUUCAAAUGCAAAUUAUAAUUUAUGUAUGAUUGGAUGAUGCUGGGAGGGACUUAAUUAUGUUUGUAGUUGCUAUUAGCUUGUAAGGCAUCUUGAAAACAUCUUCUCAAGAAUGGAUUUAAUUAUGUUUGCACUUGCUACUUAGCUUGUAACUCAUAUUGAAAACAUCUUUUCAAGAAAUACAAAGAAGUGGGAAAAUUUUACUUUUUUUUUUUUUUUUUAAUUACUUUGGUCGGAGAAAUCCUUGGACGGUUAAGUGCAAACAAUUAAUGUGAGUCCAUCAGAUUAUGUUUAAGAAAUAGAAGAUAAUAAUAAUAAUAACAAUCAAUGUGAGUCCAUCAGAUUUUUUUUUUUUUUUUUCAGGUCCAUUCCAGCGGAAGCCUAGUUGCUUUCACAAUUGCUAAGUUCAAACUCUUUAUAAAAAAAAAAAAAAAAAAAAAACAAUACAAAAUGUGGUCCUAAUUUAAUAUUCUCGUGUCCACGCCUAUCACUGUUCUGAGAUAUAAACGACAAUUUGAUAUGGACAGAGGAGAAAGAGUCAAAACAAAAAAUAUAUAGAAAAAAGAUCAUUAUGUUUCGAGCCAAUUAAAUAUUUUUUUUUAAAAGAAAAGUGCAAUACAAAAAAAAUGGUUGGGAAGUGUGGUAACCUAUUAUAUAGCAAACUAGCAAUUGUACUUUAUCACCUAUAUUUCAAGCCAAACAAAAUUGUCAUUUAAAAAGAAAAGUAUAACAAAAUUAGAUUAAAUUGACUUGGGUCAUGACGUUGAAGUGCUAUUGUCGCAUCCUAGACUUGUGUGUCCCUAAAAUACUGUUUGGUUCGGAUAUAAGUAAGAAUUAGCUAUUACAGAAAUAGAUAUAAGUAUGAGAAUAAAAAAAAUAGUGCUUGGAUGAAAAUUGGGUUGUUCCCGAAGAUAAGAAUAAUUUAAGAUAAUUUUAUAUAGAAAAUGGAGGUAUUGAUGGGGAUAAUCGAGAACUACUAUUCUCGGAUAAAAAAUAAGCAUUUCGGUAUAAAGGGGAGGAUAAGGAUCUAUUCCUAUUCCUAUUUCCUAACCAAACGUUGCCGCACCAAAAAGAUGAGUGGGAACAAAUUGUUCCCGCCCAUGUGGCCAUGUAUACCGGAUAUGGGUGGACCAUGUGUGGCUCCCACAACCCCGGAGAGAGAGAGAGAGAUUCAUAUUUUAAAUUUAAAUUGAAAUUUAACUUUUUAAAAUUUAAAAUUUAAAAUUUUAAAUUUAUAAUUUAAAAUAAAAUUUUAAAAUUUAAAUUUAAAAUUUCUAAUUUGAUAUUUUCAGUUUUUAAAUUUUAAAAUUGAUAUUUUAUAUCUUUCAAAUUUAAAUUUAAUAUUAAAUUUAAAAUAUGAUAUUUAAACUUAAAAUUUUGAAAAUUAAAAUUUUAAAUUUUAAAAUUUAAAAGUUAAAAUUUUCAAUUUAAAAUUUAAAAAUUUAAAUUCAAUUAUAAGAAUAAUAUUAUUAUUUUUUAUUUAUAACCAUCAACUAUUUCUCUUCUUUUCAAUAACCAUCCAAACAUAAUUUUUCUAGUUCCAAUCUAUACUCAUAUUUUCAUUCAAAUUAAAAAAAUACUCUUGUUCUUACAAAAAUUUAUAUUUGUACUUAUUCCCGAUAUAACUAGUUUCUAUUAAUUCCCGAACCAAACCAAACGAAGCCUUUUAAAAUGUCUGGAUGCAUGACUAUAUAUGUAGUGCACAUUUUUUCUUGCACACGCAGACACGGACUGAGAACCUUAUCAAAAUCACAGCGGAUUAUAGGAUUAGCAUUGCCUCCUGAGCAUUUACGUGUCUAGUUGGAAUUCAGUGAUAAUAACAGCAAAAUUGCUAUUUACGUUAGACUAGAUGACACCUCAUGCACAGCACUAGUACGAAAGUCCAAUUUUGAGAUAUUAAGAUUUCAUCUUGUACCGACCAUUCCUACAGCAAGUGAUAAAAGAUUUGAUGAUUGAUACUCGAGAUCCCAAGUUUGAAUUCUACUUGAUUUACAUUUUUAACUAAAUUUAUUUCUAAAUAAAAUAAAUAAAACGGAUAGCGUGCUAUUUAUCUCUCAAAAAAUAAAAAAAAAAGAUUUCAUCCUGUGCACGAAUUUCAACUCACCUCCUCAUUUUUCAAUUCCCCAGGAUAGCAAUAUUCUUCUAUAUAUUCAGCAAGUGAGAGUAACUUCAUAAGAAAAGGCAGAUACGUAGAUGGAAAUCCCAUGUCGAUUAAACAAAAACACACAAAAUUUCAGCCUUCUGAUAUGGUCACCAUUUUUUCUUAAUGUUAAUUCUAUAUAAUUUAAUAUACUGACAGAAUGACUAAUUAUUUUGUAAUAAUUUUUGGCCCGUAAUCAAUGAAAACUCAUUUUUACAAAAUUUGAAAAUAGGAAAAAAUGCUUCUAUUUUUUUAUUUUGGGUUACCAAACAAAUAUAUAAAUUGGAUGUAAAAAUUAUAAGCAAUUUAUUAUUUUCUCUCACACUAAUUUAUGUAGAAAAUUUAAUUUUUUUAAAAUACAACUACCAUGUAUAAAUCAAAUCAUAGAGCUUUUAUGAUAGACAUAAAGUAAUGGUGUGCAACAUCAAAAUUAAGAAACUCCCGGUCCACCGUGGUAUGUAAAUUUUAACGUUUAUCCAAAAAUUCUAAUCUUUCAUUCUAGAAUUUAAUUUUUUUAAAAAAUUUAAUAUAUAAAAAUUUUUAAUAAAGUCAUGAAUAAAAGUAAAAUCAAUAUGUGACGGCGGACUGAAAGCCAUUCAACAAUACGACUUUGUUCGAGAGCCACCCACUUAAACUUUGUUCGGCUCCCCCGACUGGAUUCUCCAUAAAUGAGAUUUUUGUGUACUUAGGUGUCAUGCAUGCAUGAGAUUUUUAUGUACUUAUUAGGUGUCCGCCACAACAUUUCUUCAAAUUGCAUCUGCCAAGAUACUUUGGCCUGCUAAUGAUCUAAUCUACGUCUUAUUCAACAUUAUUGAUGUGUGUCAUACUCGCCGGUUAAAGACAACUCUUAUAUCAUUUCCACCUUAAAUAACAUAAAAUAAGAGAAAUACUACAUGCACCUGAAAAUACAUUUAAAAACAUUAUUAAAUAAUGAAAUUUGCAUAUUUGGUAAUCAUGUACUUUUAUUUCAAAAAACUGAAUAUAAAUUAGGCACAUCAUCAAUUUUAAAACCUAAACCAUUCACCAACUCUGAUAUAUAUACAAAUCUUAUUUACAAAAAAACAUAAAUAUGUCCAUACAAGGAGGCGAUGGUCUUAUUUGGAACUGCAGAGUACUGCUGCGUUGUUUUAUAAUUGUGGUUUCAAUUGCGCCAGCAAUGGUAGCAUACAUUAAAAUCUACCUAAAAGCUUCUUUUUUAGGAGAAUUAGAAGUUUCAAAUCAAAAGUUUUCCUAAAAAUCUGAUUUCAACUGUGCUGCAGCAGUUUAUUGGUAACGUUUUGGCAGAGGCUAAAAUAUGACAUGGAUCAUAUUACAUACCAGCGAUGCUACAUUUAAGACCAUUUUUUAUUGUAAUCAUACAACAUGCCAAUCUAAAGACUAAAAUUGUCACACGUUAUUUCACACUCUUUUUUUAAUACUAUAUAUUUUAGAGAAAGAUAGAAUGCUAACAGGUUCGUAUAUUUUUUUUACAAAUAAAUUUAACUGAAAAUAUAAAUUAAUCAACUAGGAUUUAAACUUGAAGCCUCGGUGUCAAUCACUAAGUCUUUUGCCCUUUGCGCUUGGGACGGUCGACAUCCAGAAAAUAAUUAUUUAAUCUUUAGAAAAAUUUUAAUUCUCAGAUGAAAAUCGUAAUUCUUACGAGUUACGACUCUUUUUGGAUUGCAAACUUGGCAAUAUUUCUCAUUAUAUAUGCAUAGCAUGCAUGAACUCCUUAUAAUUCAUACCAAAAGCAUCACAAAGUUUCUAUGGCUCUUCUUCACAUGAUUGCCUCCCUGCCUUUUGUUGUUCUCCUACUACUCCCUCUUCUACUCCUCACAAGAAGAAAGGAGGGCAGCACAUCACUAAAACUUCCCCCGGCCCCUCCCAAGCUCCCAGUAAUUGGCAACCUCCACCAGCUUGGAAGACUGCCCCAUCACUCCCUCUCUCGGCUCUCGCAACGAUACGGCCCCCUCAUGUACCUGAAACUCGGCCAUGAGCCGACCAUCGUGGUCUCCUCUGCCAACAUGGCCCAGGAGAUCCUAAAGACGCAUGAUCUAGAAUGCUGCAGCCGACCGCCCCGCACCUCACAUACAAAGCUCUCCUAUGGUUGCUCGGACAUCGCCUUCGCGGUGUACGGCGGGCCAUGGAGGGAGCUGCGAAGAAUUUCCAUUAUCGAGCUUUUCAGCGCCAAGAAGAUCGCCUCGUUUCGAUCCAUUAGAGAAGAAGAGGUGGAGAGAACUAUGAGCUCGAUAUCCUCUUAUUCAAGCAGUUCUCUCCCUGUCGAUUUGAGCAAAGAACUGAUCGCGCUCACGAGCACAAUCACUUGUAGAAUGGCUUUUGGAAGGAGCUACCAUGAUGUUGGAAGCAGAUUUCAGAUGAUUCUGAAUGAAGCACAGGCCAUGCUCGGGGGCUUUUUCAUCUCGGACUACUUGCCUAUCAUCGGAUGGGCCGAUUGGCUCACAGGGAUGAGAGCGAGGCUCGAGAAGAACUUUAUCGAUCUUGAUCGCUUCUACCAACAAGUCCUCGAUGAGCAUCUCGAUAGAGUGCAGCAGCAGCACCAGCAGGACUCUGGCGAAGACGUUGUGGAUAUUCUACUGCACAUGCAGAAGGACGAGAAAAGUCUAACCACGGACCAGAUCAAAGGAGUCCUUAUGGUAAGAAAUAUCCAAUACCGAAUCGCAAAAAACAUUCUUCUAUAUUAUUCUACACAAGUUUACCCUUUUUUGCAGAAUGUUUUCAUUGGUGGGAGCGACACGUCCUCAGCCACCGCGGGAUGGGCGAUGACGGAGCUAAUGAGGCAUCCACAAGCGAUGGAAAAAGCUCAAGAAGAAGUAAGAAGCCUCGUCGGGAGCAAAGGAAAGGUAGAGGAGAGCGACAUCGACCAACUACACUACCUCAAGUGCGUUGUGAAGGAGACCAUGCGAUUGCACCCAGUGGUUCCCAUGCUUAUUCCAAGAACAACGUUGCAGCAUUUCAAAAUCAACGGCUAUGAUGUCCCGCCCAACACAACGAUACUCAUCAAUGCUUGGGCGAUUGGAAGGGACGGGAGUUACUGGGAAUCGCCGGAGGUGUUCAAGCCGGAGAGGUUCAUGAAUAGCACGGAUCUCGAGUUCGCAGGGAAGGACUUCAAUAUGAUACCAUUCGGUGAAGGUCGCAGGAUCUGUCCGGGGAAGAACCUCGGGAUAAAAACGGUCGAGAUCAUGCUCGCCAACCUUCUUUACUCCUUCGACUGGGAACUUCCGACGGGUACGACGAAGGAGGACAUCGACAUGGAUGAGACACCGGGCGUUACCGUGCACAAAAGACAUGCCCUUCGGCUUCUUGCCACUAAAU